This 70319-nucleotide long non-coding RNA is filed under the name Triticum aestivum (bread wheat). Its description in RNAcentral is "long non-coding RNA (TAES_LNC018848)". The record is from RNAcentral. Lineage: Eukaryota; Viridiplantae; Streptophyta; Magnoliopsida; Poales; Poaceae.
UUGUUGCAAUCUGUUCUUUUGCACUCGCUGUAGCUUAUUAAAAGACAGGAAAUGGAAUUUAGCUAGAAGUGGCAAAAUAUGUAGAAACUUCAACCACGAUUCAUAUAUUAAUAUGACAUGAGUUCACAUCUCACAAAAUAAAAUGAUGAGUUCACAUCCUGAGUUCAUAGAUAAAAAUAAACACUUCUUCUUCGGUACAACCUUCUGGGCACAUCAACGGUCCAGAUUAAAAGAUACCCCUUCGUGAGGAUAAGUGAGGAGGGUAGGAUGGGAAAUUCUAGUGGGCGCGGCGUCCACCGGCGUAGUUAGGCGCGUGGCCAUACGGCCCGCUGUACGCCCGUAUGUGGGCGGUGUACGCCGCGUGAGGAGGAGGGCGGGCCCACGCAUACUUAAGCCUAACCACAGCCGCGCUAAACCCCGAUUAAUUCGGCGUGGAUUAGGCGAAGCCAUUAACGCCGGCGCAGUGGCACGUCCCGUCGCCGGCGUCGGUCCACGGGCGGUGCAGAUUCACACGCCAUCGACUGACCGCCUGCCGCGCGCCUGCGCACGCCACCGCUUGACUGCCCGCGCACGCCGCCCCCUCGCCUACCAGGCAUUAAUCGCCGGCGCCGAUUCUCACGCCGCCGCCUGAGCUUCUGCGCCCUUGACCGCCCAGCGCACGCCGCCCGCUCGACUGCCCGGCAUUAAUCGCCGGCACCCGCCCCCCCUCCCGACGCCCUAUAAAAAGCGCCUCGCGCCGCCGUCGCUCGCACACCGCUCUCGCCUCCCCUCUCCUUCUCCCCCUGUCGCCGGCGUCACCCCUCUCGCGCCCUUCCUCUCCCUCUCGCCGACGAUGGCGCGCCCCAACCUGACGCUCGAGGAGGCGGAGGAGCUCGCCCACUUCGUCAUCCCCGCCGGGCCCGACGUGCGCCUGCCGGCGAGGUGGCGCCUGAGCGUUGAUGGCGUGCCGGUGGCGCCGGUGCCCGAUGUCGGCACCCACCUCUUCGCCCGCGCCGUCGGCAUCUAUCGGGCGCGGCUGUCACCGGAGGAGUUGGAGGACCCGCGCUACGCCCCCAACAACCCCGGGUGGGCGGAGCGGCUCGCCGACGACCACGAGCGGAGCCUCCACACCUACGCCGGCCCGCGGCCGCCCGUCAAGCACAACCGCGCGCGGCGGCACCAACUCUGGGACGGGCGCACCUUCGAGGAGGUCAUCGCGCCGUACCGCGCGCAGGCGAUCGCCGGCGCCGUGCCCGCCCCGCCGGGGUACGGCUACGAGCUGUUCCGCCGUGGUGAGGCGCGCUCCACCUGCGCCCGCAUCGACUUCUGCGUGAUGCACCAGCGCGCGCCACGCGGCGGCCCAGGUAGUGACUGCGGCGCUGUCCGCCUCGGCCCCGGCGAUCGCCGCACCGUGGGCAGGAACGGUGCCGGGUCCAGCCGCGCCCCUCCGCCCGAGCCGGAGCAACCUCCAGACCCGGCAUUGGUGGCGGAGUACAGGCGGCUGGCGGCGGAGGCCGGCGACCCGCAGGACAUGCCGGGGUACCUGACGGCGGUCCGGGAGUCGGAGAACAUGCCGCAGCCGCCCCCGCUCGUCCAGGAGUACAUGCAGCUCGCCCCGGUCGCCGUCCACCCGGAGGACCCGCCGGACUUCCCCGGGUAUCACGCCGCGGUCGAGGACUCGAUGGCCGCGCCCGCGGCGCCCGUGGUACCCCUCGACAACGACAGCAGCAGCAACGACAGUGAUGACGGCGACGGGCUCUAUGACGAGGCAGACUUCGGCGGCGUCGAGGACGAGUAGUUUAGUUUAGGUUACUUUCAGAAUGUUGUUUAGUAAUGUUUAAUUAUUUUCAUAAUGUUGUUUAGUUAAGUUUAAUUUCUAGUACUAUGUAAAAUAUUUAUGAAAACUAUAAUGAAAUAUUGAGUGUUUGAAUGGAUGGUUUUAAAGUAUUGUUUAAGAAUCGAGUGUUUGAAUUGAUACUGUUAUUUGAAAUUAUUUAAUUGUACAAAAUUAUUGUAAAAAAUUUAAAAACAGAAAAGAGUUAAACUUUAAAUGUAAAAAAAGUAUGAAAAUUAGGAAAGGAAAUAAAAAACGAAACAAAGGGGAAAAACAAAUAAUAUUAGCAAAAAAAAUAAAAAUAUUUUUUUUGUUUUAAAAAGAGUUCUGUUGUAAAAAUUGAAAAAUCAGAAAAGAAUUAAACUUGAAUUGAAGAAAACUAUGAAAAUUAGAAAAGUAAAUAAAAAACGAAACAAUAAAAAAAUUACAUAAUAUUAGCAAAACAAAUUAGAAGAAUUUUUGUUUUUUUUAAAGACCGCCAGCCCGGAGCCGAGCGAGGCGUAGUAAGUCUGUCCCGAUCAAGCCGACGGCGAAAGGGACCGCUUGUCGACCCUGCAAGGCCCACGGGCCCAACCAGCCGGCGAAGAAAGAGUAGGCAAGAUAUUGUUUUUUAGGAGUACGGUGGGGUAGGGCGGGGCGUGUUAUUUAAGCCGGUGCGGGCGCGCUUCGGCGGGCGAGGUGGGACUAAAAUUAGACCUCGCCUCCCGCGGCGCUGCGCGGAUCGCCGAGGUGGGCCGAUUUUGGUGGGCCGAGUGGGCCGCCUGGAAGGCAUGCGCUCGAGCGGUCCAGGGCGCAGGGAUGGUGUGCGGUACGGUGGAGGCGCACUUUUUAGUCCCACCUCGCCCGCCGAAGGACGCCCCGACCGGCUUAAAUAGGCGGAUUCAUGCAUCCUGGCAGAUAAGAUAGUUAGUAAUAAUUUGAUUUGACUUUGCACUGCCAGGGCAGCUCUCCCGCAGCUGCCCGAACAAUGUAACACUAUCCGGGCAGCUGCGAGAGUUCUGCUAGCGCAUUGUAAACUCAGAUCAUAUCAUUAGUAUCUAUCUUAUUUUUGAUAGUUUACCACUGUACGCAAGUUUGUUUCACCUCACUUAAAUUACAUCAUUAAUACCUAAUUUUUUUAAAUAUUUGUCACACCUGAUUUAAAUCACAUUAUUAGUACUUGAACGGUCUUCGGAGAACGAGGUCAAUUUUUUUGACAUCUUCAAAAUGGGCUGAAAUUUUGCAAGUGAGUUGGUAUGCCCACUCCCACACUGAAUCCAAAAAUUGAUCGUAUUUCGAUACCAAAAGCACGUUGCGUCACGUCCGGUCAGUUAUUUAGGUGUUUUCACUGAAAAAUUAUAGAAAAUUCAUAAAGUGGCAAAAAGCCACGAAACUUGUCAUGCAUCCUAGUCAUGAUGGUAGAACACUAUGAAAAAAAUUUGGGUUCAUUAGAAGGAUGUCGAAAAAAAACUCCUAUUCGGACGAGGCCUUUGCUCCUACGCGAACGGUCUACGGAGAAGGAGGUCANNNNNNNNNNNNNNNNNNNNNNNNNNNNNNNNNNNNNNNNNNNNNNNNNNNNNNNNNNNNNNNNNNNNNNNNNNNNNNNNNNNNNNNNNNNNNNNNNNNNNNNNNNNNNNNNNNNNNNNNNNNNNNNNNNNNNNNNNNNNNNNNNNNNNNNNNNNNNNNNNNNNNNNNNNNNNNNNNNNNNNNNNNNNNNNNNNNNNNNNNNNNNNNNNNNNNNNNNNNNNNNNNNNNNNNNNCAUCCGGUCAGUGUUUUAGGUGUUUUCAUCGAAAAAAUUAUAAAAAAUUCAUAAAGUGGCAAAAAGCCACGAAACUUGUCAUGCAUCCUAGUCAUGAUGGUAGAACACUAUGGAAAAAAAUUGGGUUCAUUUGAAGCAUGUCGAAAAAAAACUCCUUUUCGGACGAGGCCUUUGCUCCUACCCGAACGAUAUACGGAGAACGAGAUCAAUUUUUUGACAUCUUCAGAAUGGCCUGAAAUUUUGCAUGUGAGUUAGUAUGCCCACUCCCACACUGAAUCCAAAAAUUGAUCAUAUUUCGAUACCAAAAGCACGUUGCGUCACGUCCGGUAAAUAUUUUACGUGUUUUCACCGAAUAAAUUAUAGAAAAUUCAUGAAGUGGCAAAAAGCCACGAAACUUGUCAUGCAUCCUACUCAUGAUGGUACAACACUAUAGAAAAAAUUUGGGUUCAUUUGAAGGACGUCGAAAAAAAACUCCUUUUCGGACUGUCUACGGAGAAUGAGGUCAAUUUUUUGACAUCUUUAGAAUGGCCUGAAAUUUUGCAUGUGAGUUAGUAUGCCCACUCCCACACUGAAUCCAAAAAUUGAUCGUAUUCGAUACCAAAAGCUUGUUGCGGGCCCUCCGGUCAGUGUUUUAGGUGUUUUCACCGAAAAAAUUAAAGAAAAUUCAUAAAGUGGCAAAAAGCGACGACACUUGUCAUGCAUCCUAGUCAUGAUGGUAGAACACUAUGGAAAAAAAUUGGGUUCAUUUGAAGGAUGUUGAAAAAAACUCCUUUUCGGACAGGGCCUUUGCUCCUACUCGAACGGUCUACGGAGAACGAGAUCAAUUUUUUGACAUCUGCCGAAUGGCCUGAAUUUUUGCAUGUGAGUUAGAAUGGUCUUAUUCAUUAAUGGAUAAUAAAAUUGCCAUAAUAUUAAUGAGUUUUUUGUUAUAAUUUAUAAGUAAAAGUAACAAGUGUUUUGUUAUAAUUGUUUAUGAGUUUUUCUUUAAUUGCUAACAUUUUUGAGUUUAUUAAAAAAUAAUUUGGAAAUCACCCUUAAUAAUUGUACAUAUAUGCAAAGUUAGUAAUGUAAUGUGCAAAGUUUAGUACUGUCAUAUGCAUUUUGUUAUCACUUAAAAAAUAUUCAAUAAUUAUAAAGAAACAAUAUUGAAUAUAGAAUAUUAUUUGUUAAAAAGUGCGGGGGGACAAAAUGAUACAAACAAAUAAGAUAGCUAGUUAAUAAAGUGAUUUGACUUUACAUAACUGCCCGGGCGACUGCCUGCCCGGGCAGUUAUGUAAGGCCAAAUCUCUUUAUUAUUAGCUAUUUUAUCUAACAAAGAGCACAAACGCGGCUAUAUAAAGCGGUCGUGGUGUCGUUCGGCAGGCGAGGUGGGACUAAACUUUAGUCCUGACCCCGCCGACCCUGCCCCCGCACCGCCGCACAGUGAAUGGGCCGGCCAACGCGCCCUGUCGAGGACCUUUUUUUGUUCAAAAAUAGUAUUAUCUUUUUUAGUUAUUUAUGCCUUUCGUUAUCGUUUAAUAAAUGGUUUAUAAUUAAUGAAAAACCCUACGUAAUAUAGAAUUGUUAACUAGAUUUAUUAUAUUUAUGUAAUGUUCAUUAUUUAGUUUAUAAGUAAGAAUAAUGAGUGGUUUAUUAUAAUUUAUAGGUAAAAAUAAUGAGUUUUUUGUUAUAAUUUUUUAUGAGUUUUUCGUUAAUGCCUAACAUUUUUCAGUUUAUUAAAAAAAAUGAGUUUUUUGCUAUAUUAGAAACACUACUUAAUAUAGAAUUUAUUAAGUAGUUAUAUUAAAAACACUACUUAAUAUAGAAUUUAUUUAGUAUUUAAAUUAUACAUAUGAAAACUUUACUAUUGUUAUUUGUGUCAACAAUGAUAAUGAGUUUUUUUUUAUAAUUUUGGGAGGCAGUGGGCAUGCAUGAAAUUUCACCCAAUUUUGGGAGGCAGUGGGCAUGCUCAUCGUAGGACCCCACGCAAGAUUUGAACGAAUUCGGGCACCAAAAGCACGUUGCAUCACGCCCGGUCAGUGUUUUCGGUGCGUUUCACGAAGAAGACCCUACGAAAUUCGUACGGUGUCAGAAAAUUAUUGAAUCUUGCAGGCUUGAUGGCCCUGGUCAAGAAACCCUAUUGAAAUUUGAAGGAUGUAAAAGAAAAACCCUCCGUCGGGACGUAUAAAAAAAUCUUCAGGCGCGUAUAGUCAUACCUUACAACACUUAUACAGGUCAUGCUAUAUUAGUCCACAAUAAUUCUGGAGUGACAGAGCAGAACCAGCAUAAACAUAGUGAGGUAUGGCCACCAUGAUUAAAGAUUUGAUGUUGUAUACGGAUGAAGCUAUUUAAACACGUUAUUAGUCAUGAAAACUAGCAAUGUGGGACUAAAAAUACAACACUAUGGGCGGUUGGCGCCCCUAGCGGCGCACACACGGCCGGCCGCCCACCAUGGCCCGUGCGCGCUGUGGGCCGCCCCCGCGCGCCUUUUAUGGCCAUUGUAGGCGAACUUUUAAUAAAGAAAUUUAUAGCCACUGUACGGUGUCCUAUAAUGCAAUAAUUUUUAUUAUUUUUGUAAAUAUAAAAAAAUUGUGUCCGAAGAGCACUGUAUUUGUAAAUAUUAAAAAACACAAGAAAAAAAUCCUGUAGUGCGGACGGAUUUACCUCAGAAAAUUAAUUUGAAUUUUUGCUGUGACACUCCAUGAUUAUGGAGUGCCAGAGCAUCAUUCACAUUAUCCUACUGAGGAAAGACCGCCACAUUAAAGGAUUCAACACUGUACGCAGAGGACAAUAUUUAAACAGAUGAAUAAGCGUGUCCAAAAGCAAUGUGGGACUAAACAAUUAGCAGUUUGGGCGGUGGCCGCCGUGGAUUUUUGCUUUCAUGGGCACUCACGUGUGCGCCGCAAACGGCGCCCAAGUGGCCGCCGUGGGUCGCCUUCGUAGCCCGACAGUUUGCGCCGCGCGCGCCGGUUGUGAAAAAAAUCUUAAAUCGUUGCACUUUUUGUGUUUUUCAUGCACUAAUUCAUAUAAAAAAUCUAAUGUCGAAACGCACCUAACUUUUGCAUGCGCGUGUGAGUGACCCCCACCGUCUCCCACGCCAAAUUUCAACGGAAUCGGAGUACGAACGGAAGUUGCGUCACGUCGGGAGACCUUUUCUGGGUAUUUUCACGGAGAAAAUCGUGGUAAAUGCAUCGAGUGUCGAAACACACCGAAAUUUUGCAGGCGUGCUUGUGUGGCACACUGUAGCGUGUGAAAAAAUAUGGUGACGUUUCAUGACUUUGCGAAAGGGAACACCUAGUGGAUGCCCGUCCCCCCAAACCGAUANNNNNNNNNNNNNNNNNNNNNNNNNNNNNNNNNNNNNNNNNNNNNNNNNNNNNNNNNNNNNNNNNNNNNNNNNNNNNNNNNNNNNNNNNNNNNNNNNNNNNNNNNNNNNNNNNNNNNNNNNNNNNNNNNNNNNNNNNNNNNNNNNNNNNNNNNNNNNNNNNNNNNNNNNNNNNNNNNNNNNNNNNNNNNNNNNNNNNNNNNNNNNNNNNNNNNNNNNNNNNNNNNNNNNNNNNNNNNNNNNNNNNNNNNNNNNNNNNNNNNNNNNNNNNNNNNNNNNNNNNNNNNNNNNNNNNNNNNNNNNNNNNNNNNNNNNNNNNNNNNNNNNNNNNNNNNNNNNNNNNNNNNNNNNNNNNNNNNNNNNNNNNNNNNNNNNNNNNNNNNNNNNNNNNNNNNNNNNNNNNNNNNNNNNNNNNNNNNNNNNNNNNNNNNNNNNNNNNNNNNNNNNNNNNNNNNNNNNNNNNNNNNNNNNNNNNNNNNNNNNNNNNNNNNNNNNNNNNNNNNNNNNNNNNNNNNNNNNNNNNNNNNNNNNNNNNNNNNNNNNNNNNNNNNNNNNNNNNNNNNNNNNNNNNNNNNNNNNNNNNNNNNNNNNNNNNNNNNNNNNNNNNNNNNNNNNNNNNNNNNNNNNNNNNNNNNNNNNNNNNNNNNNNNNNNNNNNNNNNNNNNNNNNNNNNNNNNNNNNNNNNNNNNNNNNNNNNNNNNNNNNNNNNNNNNNNNNNNNNNNNNNNNNNNNNNNNNNNNNNNNNNNNNNNNNNNNNNNNNNNNNNNNNNNNNNNNNNNNNNNNUGAUUUUGCGAAAGGGAACACCUAGUGGAUGCCCGUCCCCCCAAACCGAUACCUGAGGUUUGUACUGCGACUACAUGUCAACAUGGACGAAACGCACCCAACUUUUGCAUGCGCGUGUGAGUAACCCCCACCGCCUCCCACGCCAAAUUUGAACGGAAUCAGAGUACGAACGGAAGUUGCGUCACGUCGGGAGACCUUUUUUAGGUAUUUUCAUGGAGAAAAUCGUAGUAAAUGCAUCAAGUGUCGAAACACACCGAAAUUUUGCAGGCGUGCUUGUGUGGCACAUUGUAGCGUGUGAAAAAAAGGUGACGUUUCAUGAAAACAUAAAAAAUAAAUAAAUAAAUAAUAUAAAAAAUCCCGUAGUGUGGAUGGAUUUACUUAAGAAGAUUAAUGUAAAUUAUUGCUGUGACACUCCAUGAUUUUGGAGUGCCAGAGCAUAAUAUACAAUAACCUACUUAAGUAAGACCACCACAAUCAGGGACUUAACAUUGCAGGCAGAGGAAGGUAUUUAAACAGGUGAAUAAGCAUGACGAGAAGCAAUGUGGGACUAAAGGAUUAGCAUGUUGGGCGGUGGCCGCCGUCGCAUGGAUAGGUUGGGCGGUACCGGGCCUGGCCCAGUUGAUGCUGGGAAACGGUUUUUCCUCUCCAUCGUCGUAUACCGCCGCGCACGGCGGAACCCUACCCAACCCCACCACUCGCCCCCGUACGCCGCCCCGUGCCCCGACGUCGCCCUAUCACGAUCGCCCCACACUGCCCCACGCGCGCACAACACCGUCCACGCGCGCGCAACGCCGUCCAACGCCGUCCACUGUCAAUGGCGCACGUUGCCGCAUUGGUUGUUAGGGCGCCUCACGGCCGACGACGCAUCUCGCCAUCGUUCGGCUGCCUACUUUCCCUCUGCCACAGCCGCUGCUCGGCGGCUAUCGCCCGGAUCAAGGUCACAUUUUCCCGGCUUGUACAAUUUUUUCUAGUGCUAUUGUGUAAUUAUAUUUAUUAGUAGGAAAAAAUUUUGACAUGCAAUAUGGACAUCGAUGGUGUGAUUCCAUGUUCCAUAGAGAAGUGGAUAAGUCUCUUGACAAAUUAACAACUGCUCAGCGAUUUAGGUUCUAAGAAACAAACUUGCAAGAGAUAUUGAUCAUUCCGUCAGUACAAAUGAGAGAUUUUUUGCUGCAUUUUAUGAUUCUGGGUUAUAACCCAAACAGCAAAAAAUUCAUGAUACAAGAAGAAACUGGCAGUAAAGGCCUUAUUUCACUUAGACCGGACGACGUGUUUUCAAUAUUUGGGUUUAAGAAUGAAGGUGAGGGUGUUUUUGGCAUUCUUGCGACGAAAGGAAAAGAGUUAAUAAAGAAAAUUCCUAUUCAGUACGUUCACAAAAAAAAGGUCAGAUAAUGAUAGAUGACUUGAUCCAAAAAAUUGUGAGGAAUAAAUCCGCCGACGAUGAGUCUCUUCGGAUGGCUGUUCUUGUUUUUUUGGGACUAUUAUUGCACCGAUGUCGGCUGUCUCCAUACCAAAGGAGUACUACGCGUUGGUCCAUGACGUGAAGCGGAUAAGCUCGUUGAACUUUAACAUGUUCACUUUGCGAACUUGUUUGACGGAGAUUGGUAAACUCAAGCAGGACGGCCGUGUGAGGCAAUGGCCAUGUGGCAACCUAGCCCUACUCCACGUAUGGUAUUAAUUAAUGCUAUUUAAUAUUUCUUGAUGUUAUGCUUUCGUAAUUUAUUUUGUCAUUUGUUUUGUAGUACUUAUAUCGGGAGAAGGUGCAGCCAACCACCGGCCCGAAAAAUGACCCGUUGUCGUUGCAAAUUCCCCUAAUGAAAAACUGGACUGAAUCUAAAGCGGAGAAACGAGACAAGUACGACCUGGACAAUGGUCGUGGUUCUGGAUUGGUAAUAUUGUAAUAUUUAUUUAACAAUACGUUGAUUAUCCAUCGUAAAUGUUAUGUACUUAUGUUUUCAUUGCAUACUCACUUUGCAGAUAGAUGACUUCAUUACAAAAGAGUAUAGAAUGAAAAAACUUGCACAUGAACAUGCUGAAAGCAGUAAGAAACCUACUAGCCGAAAGUCAUCCGUUACGGGAAAGAGAAAAGUGGAUUGCGUGUCCGAGGUCCCUGUUAACCUAAAGCCUUUUAUGGACCGGGUAAUGAAUGAUAUGAAGGAAAUUCGUAAGGAAUUGUUUCGUAUGCCGGAGUUAUGCGCACAGGUAAAAAUUUAGCAAUUAUGGUAUGCACUCUAUUAAAUUCGUUAAAUUGACAAAAAGAUAUAACAUGUUACUGUGCUUACUUUUGCAGAGAUUGUUAGAGAAAAUGAAUAAAACAGGUGUGCGGUACAAACCAGGUACAAUGGCAGAGGAGGAAGAAAAUCUGUAUGGAUAGAAUAGUGAGUCCAGGCAUGAAAACAAGUAUCCUAAUAAAGAAUUUCAGUAUGAUGACAUACACACACCUAAUGGCCGAAAUGGCAGUGGGCAUUAUGAUUUGGAUUCUGAAGGAGGGGAUUCGUUCAAACUCAGUACUGGUCACUUGAGUAGCUAUAAAGGUGAGAAGGAUGAUCCUAUAGAUGUCCCAGAGCAGUCAAAAAAAAAGAAGCAUCAUCUUUAAACACAGAAGAAAUAGAAGCAACAAGAUGGGGAGUGGAACAAAAUGAGCAAGAAGUGUCGCAGGGCAUGUCCGAUGGUAAUAGCGAGAUAGAAGAGAAGAAGGAGGUGAUUUCAGGGAAGCGAAAGCGGAGUAAGUCAAAGUACCAGAAAUCUCCUUAUGUUAAAAAGACACCAAAAAAACGUGCGAAACGUUCCGCGAAAGCGAAUAAGUUAAAGACGGUAUGAAUAUUUAUUUCAUAAUUAUAUAUUAAAAAUUUAUACUAUAACUUUAUUUACUUGUGUUGUAGAACUGUUUAAUGAAACAAGUCCUCAGUUAGAUCAUUCUGUGGAUGAUAUGGUGCGUGCGGCUGUGCAGUACGUCAAAGCGUACGAGCACUCACCAAAACAUAAGAACCAUGAAAUAUUCAACAACGUACAGAUGAAGAAUAUCUGCGGCAAGAGCUUGCCAGAUACUUAACCAUGCAUGGUUAUCCGAUGAUGUAUGUACUUUUAUUGUCAUGCUUAUUUCAUGUGCUAAGUAUAUUGCAUCCAUGUUAAAUUUACUCAUCCAUUUCAGGUAAUUGACGCUUAUGCGACGUACAUAUCGGAUUCAACUAUUGCCAAGGACAGGUAUCUUGUACCCACACAUAGGUCUUAUUGGUUAUUGAACACUCGCCCAAAGAUAGUAAAACGAGGGAAGUCGGUGGACGAUCCGGAAGGUUUAGCACAUGCAAAUGAACCUCUCAACAGAUGCAUGGCAGAAUAUUUUGCAAAAUCUAAGGUACCGUUUGUAUUGCAGAAUUGUUUUUACAUUACUGUCAUAUGUGAAAGGCGAGCUUAGUAACAAUAUUUAAAUUGUGAAAUAGGCUUAUUUUGCUUUAAAUAAGGAUAAAAACCACUGGAUUACAUGUGUUAUGCACACUCGAAAGAAAGAGUUCCAAAUUAUUGAUUCUUUGAGGGGGGGAAGAAAAUAUCUCUGAAGCUACCAGGAAAUUCGUUGAAAAUUUUGUAAGUUUCGUAUUCAUGUGUGUACAAUUAACCAUAUAAAUAGUUUACCGUAUGUAGUCAACGUGUUUGUAUUUUUUUAUUUUCAGAGAGAGCAACUUGCAGGAGAUAUCCAAGAUGCAAAUGAUAGUGCAAUUAUGUCGUUCCCGGAUGUGUCCGCAUGGCCUAUAGUCCGGUACGACAUGCCUCAACAAGAAGAUGGGUGAGUUACAUGUUGCACAUGCUUUCGAAAUACAUUAAUUAAUUCAGUGCUAUCUUACUUAACGUGCUUUGAAAAUUGCACUUCUGAUUUUCGAACACAGAAACUCAUGUGGGCUGUUCCUCCUUUGCUGUUUUUAAUACUGGGACGGAGAAAAUUUUAUAAGUGCUAUUUCUCAGGUGGGUACAUUUUUAGUAUGAAAAAAUAUUACAUCGUACUAUAAGUGAUGAAAUUAAAAUCAUUUUUAUUGUUUUUCAGGAAUCUAUUGAUAGUUCGAGAGAAAGAAUGAUAGCUGGAAUUAUUUUGUUCCCAGAAAAUAAGCUUACAGAAGUGAAGAACAAAGUAAUUCGACUUGGAAAGUGGAAACAAAAAUGAAAAUCUCAUACGAGAAUUCUACGUGGAUUUCGAAACAUUAUGUGUGGAUGAUUGAGGAUUGUGUGUGGAUGCUUUAUUUUUUUUAUGUGAGUUCCAAACAUUUUUCACAUGUCCAGAUUAUGUAGCCCGACAAAUUUAUUUAACGUACAUUUUAAUCAUUUGAUAUUUUGAAAUUUAUUUUAUAUCUUAUGUGCGCGAAUGUAUAAGGUUGGGGCUUUAAAAUACCCAGUUGAUAUAUAAUGAUCACGUAUCAGAGGCGAUCGUCGCCCGCGCCACAGGAGGCGAGCGUCGCCCGUGCCACAGGAGGCGAGCGUCGCCCGCGCCGCGCCUCACGUGCUCGCCUCGAGCGGCUCAGACAGCGGCACGUGUUCGGCGCGAGAUGGCCCACGUGGGGGCGCAUCGUCUGGCCAGCCGGCCCGCGCCGCGCGUUGCUCCAGGGUUGGCCUGUGCCACGCCCGAGGUUGAUUCCCCCUCGGCCCACCUGCGCCCCUCUGCGCCCGAGGGCGGUGCAGCCUCGGGAUCGUCAUCUGCGGCGGCACCUGAAGCAUCCUCGUACGUAGCGCCCCUUGGCGCCCGAGGGCUGUCAACGUUUUUUUUAAAGCAACCGACGGCUGUACAACGCCUCCGAUCGCCGAACAUCCAUGUUUUAUACACAAAAUCAUAUAUUUCUAUAAAAAUAAUGUAUACAUCACAUAUUGUAUUAAAGACAAUGCCUGUAGUGCCAAGAAAUAUAUAUUAUAAAGUAAAAAGUGUAUGUCGCAUAUCAUAUUAAGAACACCGAGUAUAGUGACAACAGAUAUGACAUAAGUAAACAGCGAUUACAAGUCUCCCGUAUCGAUGUACCGAAACAAAUAUAUAAGUAGUAUUCUUUAAUACAACCAAAUAAAUCGUCAACUCUAUUCAGAAUUUGUUCCACUUAUUCAAACAAUCUGUGCUAUGAUCAUCAUGCCAUGUUCCUGCAUAGAAAGAUCGUAAUAUAUGUCAAAAUUUUGUAAACAAGAAAAGAACGUUAAAAAAGUGUGCACAUACUUAGGAUUCUGAGGACAAUUGUUCUUGAAAUGACCUUUUAUUCUGCAUAAACCGCAUAGGCGUACAGGAGGUUUCUCAUUGAAAUCUUUAGGUCUACCAUUUUUAGUCACGCCGGUUCCUUACCACGGCCUUUGUUAUUCUGCCCUUUGGUGCUCCUUUCGUAUUGACUUUCUCUGGAUCACCAACAAAAACAUGAUCUUGAUCCGGCACAAAAGCAUCGUCAUGUGCAACCUUAUGCUGUCUCACAUAAUCUUCCUCCUCAACAUCCUUGUUUGCUAUCACAUCCUCCAGAGCAGCCUUCAGUUUGUCAAAUAGGAAUGGUCUAUGACAUGCCGCAUGAUUUGCUUCCGCAGACAAAAUAGUCAACUCACUGUACUUAGUUCUCUCCUCAAUACCUGCCCAUCCCCAUGCGAAGAGAUCACUAGUGCGUUUCACGGGCAGUCCACCUCUAGCAUUCUUGGUGAAUCUUCGCAGCACUAAGCACUUAGGUAAGUCCUUCACGUUCAACCUUGCCAAAACAUAAAGAACAUGCUUGCAUGGGAGACCUUUACGUUUCAUACUAUCACAACUACACUUUAUUGUUUCUUCUGAGUUAGUAGGUGCGUAGUCCACUUCGAAUCUCAGUUGCCUGUUAUUUUUCCAUGCCACUACGAAUCUCUGACUGACAGCUCCACUGAGUCUAUCUAUGAUCUCAAGAUCUGUUGCCUUCUUCAUUUCUUUCCGCAAGAGGUAAAAGUUCACCGCAGUGAAGUCACGGGCAGCGGCUUUCUCAAUGCAUUUGAACUCCUCGAGUACUGGUACAGGAAGUGUCUGUGUGGACAUGCAGUCGUCGUAUGACUCGUUCUCACGGAGCCGAACAAUGCAGUUCUCAUAAUGCACAACCAUAUCAACAAUUGUUAUGCCAGAGUCAAGAUGCAUAUGAAGGCAAGAGUUCAGACUCUCGCUCCUCUGGUUACUCCACAUACCAAGGAAGAACCCACCGGUGAGAUAUGAUGCAGCCCAAAGCCUUUUCUUCCUGUACAUCCUACGCAACCAUGUUUCAGUUUUCUCCGACUCCCAUUUAGCUUUAAAAGCUGCCCAUGUUGCCUCAAACUCAUCAUGUGUAGUAGCAUAUAUAGUAAAUAAGAGACCUGAACUCCUUAAGGGACUUGUUUUGGAGGUGUUUCUGCAUGUUUUUCUCUAUAUGCCACGAACAAAGUUGAUGCCACACGUCAGUAAGGACCUUCCUGAUGGCCCUCAUCAUGGCUGCGUCUCCGUCAGUAAUUACAGACCUCGGCUCCUUCUGACAAUGAUCUCUCAAGAAGGUCUGCAACACCCAAACAUAUGUAUCCUCCGUAUCAUCUGACACAACAGCACAACCGAACACAGUGGUGCAACGAUGAUUGUUUAGACCAACAAAAGGUAUGAAUGGCAUUCCAUACCUAUUCAUCUAGUAAGUGCUGUCGAAGACGAUUACAUCACCAAAGUCAAGGUAAUCCCGACGUGACUGGGAAUCACACCAGAACAUGUUCUUCAGCUUGCCUUCUGCGUCAACUGUGUGCUCAAAGAAAAAGUCUGGAUCCCUUGCCUUUCUCGUCAUCAUGAUACCAAUCGCAGUGUCCGCAUCACCCUUUGCUAGCAACUUCAUUUUCUCCCUAUAACACAUGUUAUAAAGCUUCCUCCUCCCGAAACCAGCCCGUACAUAUGAUCCAUACCUACUAACGAAGUUAUCAUAAAUCCAAUGUUUUCUGAGCCCAGCACCUGCCAUUGCUAAGAUCUCGAGCUUCUGUAUUCCUUUAUUUGAUUAUGAGACCGAAGAUAUAUAACUUCAUCCGGUCUAGCAAGAGUGUGACUAUGAUCAUCGCUGAAACUGCUGACAUACCAAAUGGAGCGCUCUCUAUCAAGCUUCAUAGUCAGAUGGGCCACGCAAUAGCACCGAGUCUCCGCUCUCAGCCUGCCCUUGAACAGAGAAACCUCCUCAAGCGCCUACGUGCGUUACCCUUUGCAUAUUUCAAGUUGUCCCUCCUAAUGCUGAAGCCACGCUUUUUCGCAUAGUCGUUAUAGAAAUCAUAUGCCUCCUCGUCUGUCCUGAACGUCGUGGACAUCACCGUCCAAUGCCUGUCCAGUGAUUCUUGCUGGUAUUCAUCGUACCCAGUGUCAAAAUUGUACUCAUCACCAUCGGCAUUAUCAUCGUUUUCGCACGCGCCAUCAACCUCUCCCUGAAAAAAAAUACAAACAAACUUAUAUGUCAGUAAGUAGUUGUAUAAGGACUAUCAUAUGUAUUCACUUUGCACUACUUACUUUGCUCGAGCUAUCAAUAUAAGAUGCAUCGAUAUCAUUUUGGUCGUUGGGAUCAUCGAAAAAAUUCCACUCAUAGUACCCUUCCACUUCCAUCUGCGCAAAUUUUAAAUAUGAUAUGUAAGACUUCAUGCGUUUUUCAUGUCACUUUAAAAUAACCUGCAUAAUUUUAAACCUACAUGGCUUCCGCUUUUAGCAUAUGAAUCAUCUACAUCCAUAUCCUCAUUGUCAUCAUCCCCUCCUACCUGUGCAAAGUCAAACAAGUACAUGUUAUCAUCGUGGAUGCUUGUAUUUAAUAUGCUUGACAACAUGCAGACCACUUACAUUGCCACUGUAAGACUUAUCCAAACUCAUAUAAUUUUCGCCGUCAUGUUCGUCUUCAUCCAAUGACAAUGAUUCGUCCUCGCUACCGCCAUCAUCACCGUCAUAUCCUAUUUCCGCCUCCAUCUAUACAUGUUCAUUUGUAAUCAAAGAUCCGUUCGAACAUCACGUAACAUCUUCGCAAAUAAAAUCCGUUUUUAAAUCACUAUGCCAGCGGCUCGCGUACCUCGUUGCCUUUGUCAGACAUGACAAUACUGUUGAGAUUCGCCGGAGGCUCGAGGGAGAACAGCUCCGAGCUGAUGGCCGCGGAGGCGUCUGCCCGACCGAGGCGGUUGUCGGCGUCUAGUCACGCACAACGCGAGGGAGAAUAGCACGCCGAGCUGACGCCGGCGGCGCCGUCUGCCCCACGUAGGCGGUUGUCGGCGUCUAGUAUUUUUCCGUCGGCCAGGUACUGCCGGAGAUGGCGGCGGCGGCGCGAGAGGCGACGUGAAGAUAGGGUUCGCUGAUCGUUUUUUUUUCACUCGAACCACACGGGCGUAUGCAGCGGGGCGGGCGUGCUUGCGGGCGGGCGUACACCGGGCGCGGGCGCGGACGGGCGGGCGUACGCGACAGCGCCAUACGGCGACAUGAGCGCGCGUACGGCGGGCGGGCAUUUUCAUACAAGCGUGUGAAAUGACCGCCCUACCCCUUAUACGUUUUGGGAGGGGGGUUGUACCGAAGCGCAUCUCAGAAAUAAAAUGAGUUCACAGCUGAAAAUGAUGAGUUCGGUGUGGGAAGGAAAGAGCCAAGCGCUGACGCAACUACGUCGAUGCAACAGCAGGCGCUGGUCNNNNNNNNNNNNNNNNNNNNNNNNNNNNNNNNNNNNNNNNNNNNNNNNNNNNNNNNNNNNNNNNNNNNNNNNNNNNNNNNNNNNNNNNNNNNNNNNNNNNNNNNNNNNNNNNNNNNNNNNNNNNNNNNNNNNNNNNNNNNNNNNNNNNNNNNNNNNNNNNNNNNNNNNNNNNNNNNNNNNNNNNNNNNNNNNNNNNNNNNNNNNNNNNNNNNNNNNNNNNNNNNNNNNNNNNNNNNNNNNNNNNNNNNNNNNNNNNNNNNNNNNNNNNNNNNNNNNNNNNNNNNNNNNNNNNNNNNNNNNNNNNNNNNNNNNNNNNNNNNNNNNNNNNNNNNNNNNNNCCGUUCCCUCCCUCGCCGACGCCUUCCGUGUUGCCUCUGCGUUGACACGGAUCUGCGCGCUCGGCUCCUUCUCCUCGCGUGUCUGCAGAUUCGCAGGGCCAGGGUUCCCCCUCCCCUUCAUAUACGAGGCGUUCCAGGAGGUGCUUCACCCGAUCCAGUCGGUGCCGGAGGCGGAGCUGCUGGCGACAAGGGAACGAAGAUGGAUGAAUGAUAAUCUCGAAGUGCAGGGAAUCAUCGUAGCAAUUUCCAAAGGUGCAAGUGAUACGUAUGGAGUGUCGAACCCACAAGGAGCUAAAGGUAAGAUCAAUAUUCUCUCAAGCCCUAUCUGCCACGGAUACGACUCUACGUGCACCGAACGUUUGCUUCCAACUAGAAACGAGAAAUAAAACUACGUUGUGGGUAUGAAGAGGAUAACUUUGCAUGGUAUCGGAGAGCUAAAAUAUAAAAGUAGGUGCUGUUAUCAUAAAGUUAGAAUAUAAUACUAAAUAUUAUAAAUAGCGAGUGUGGAAUAAUGAUGGAUCGGUGUGCGGAAUUGUCCUAGGCAAUUGUUAACAAGACCGGUAGUCGUCAUUGCAAUUUCAUAUGAGGGACAGGCAUAAGCUAACAUAAUUUCUCUUCUUGGAUCAUAUGCACUUAUGAUUGGAACUCUAGAAAGCAUCCGCAACUACUAAAGAUCAUUAAGGUAAAACCCAACCAUAGCAUUAAAGCAUCAAGUCCUCUUUAUCCCAUACACAACAACCCCCUUACUCGGGUUUAUGCUUCUGUCACUCAAGCAACCCACUAUAAGCGAAUCAUAAACGUAUUGCAACACCCUACAGCGGGAAUCCCUCAUGCUUGCGCGACACGGAGGGCACAAUAGGACAACACCAAAAUAAAACAUACAACUCGUACCAAUCUAGAUCAUCCAUCAACCCAAAGACAAAGGAUAUCUACUCAAAACAUCAUAAGAUGGCAACACAUCAUUGGAUCAUAAUAUGUGGCAUAAAGCACCAUGUUCAAGUAGGGAUUACAGCGGGGUGCGGGAGAGUGGACCGCGUAAAAGAGAUGAGGAUGGUGAUGAUGAUGGUGAUGUUGAUGAACACGAUCACCGCGGUGAUGAUUCCCCUCCCGAUGGCACUCCGGGGCCACCGAGAGAGAGGAGGAGACGUUAUCCCCCUUGUGCUUCCUCCUCCAUGGCCUCCCCCCUAGAUGGGGAGAGGCUCUCCCUCUGGUCCUUGGCCUUCAUGGCGAUGAUGGCCCCUCCGAGAUCCUCCUCCAUGGCCUUCGGUGAUGAUGGCCCCCUCCGGCAGGGUGCCAGAGAGGGCCUAGAUUGAUUUCUCGUGGUUACAGAGGCUUGCGGCGGCGGAACUUCCGAUCUAGGUUAUUUUCUGGGCGUUUCUGUAUUUAUAGGAAUUUUUGGCGUUGGUUUCACGUCAGGGGGGUCUCCGAGUCGUCCACGAGGUAGGGGCCCAUGCCCAGGGGGGUGGGCGCGCCCCCCACCCUCGUGGACAGCCCGGGACUCUUCUGGCCCAACUCUUUUGCUCCAGGGGCUUCUUUUGGUCCAUAAAAAAUCAACAAAAAUUGGCACGUCAAUUGGACUCCGUCUGGUAUUCCUUUUCUGUAGAACUCAAAAACAAGGAAAAAAAACAGAAACUGGCACUGGGCUCUAGGUUAAUAGGUUAGUCCCAAAAAUCAUAUAAAAUAGCAUAUAAAUGCAUAUAAAACAUCUAAGAUGGAUAAUAUAAUAGCAUGAAUACUUCAUAAAUUAUAGAUACGUUGGAGAUGUAUCAGCAUCCCCAAGCUUAAUUCCUGCUCGUCCUUGAGUAGGUAAAUGAUAAAAGAAAUAAUUUGUGAAGUGUGAAUGCUAGCAGGUGCACAAGUUUGAUCAAUGAUAAUUUCAAUCACCUUUUCUAGCAUCAUUAUAUGUCAUAACAGUAGCUCAUCUCAUAAAACUUUUCAUGAUCAAGUAACAAACUAUUCACAUGUUAAAGUAUAGAUCAUAAACUUUCUUGAAAACUAACAAACAGUGCUCUUAGUCAUCAAACAAUUGCAAUUCAUCUUAUUUUCAGGAAGGGUCUAUGUCAGAGCUUUGAUUUAGCAAACUCCACAUACUCAACUAUCAUUUAAUCUUUCGCAAUUGCUAAUACUCACGUGAUAUUUAUGGGUUCAAAGUUUUAAUCGGACACAGAGAAAGAUAGGGGCUUAUAGAUUCGCCUCCCAACCUUUUACCUCAAGGGUAAUGUCAACAAUAAUAGUUCAUGAUAACUUACAUCCAAUUGGAUAUAUAUAUAUCAGGAUCUUUCCAACACAAUGUGCUUGCCAAAGGAUAAAAUGUAAAAAGAAAAGGUUAAGAUCACCAUGACUCUUGCAUAAGGUAGAAGAUAAAAGUAAAAGAUAGGCCCUUCGCAGAGGGAAGCAGAGGUUGUCAUGUGCUUUUAAGGUUGGAUGCACAAAAUCUUAAUGCAAAAAGAACGUCACUUUAUAUUGCUUCUUGUGAUAGAGACCUUUAUUAUGCAGUCCGUCGCUUUUAUUUCUUCCCUAUCACAAGUUCGUAUAAAGCUUAUUUUCUUCGCACUAAUAGAUCAUACAUAUUUAAGGAGCAAUUUUUAUUGCAUGCACCUAUGACAACUUACUUGAAGGAUCUUACUCAAUCCUUAGGUAGGUAUGGUGGACUCUCAUGGCAAAACUGGUUUAAGGGAUGUUCGGAAGCACAAGUAGUAUCUCUACUUGGUGCAAAGAAUUUGGCAAGCAUGAGAGGGAAAGGCAAGCUCAGCAUGUUGGAUGAUCCGUGACAAUAUACUUUAUUUCGGAUAUAAGAAAACAUAACCCAUUACGUUGUCUUCCUUGUCCAACAUCAUCCUUUUAGCAUGUCAUAUUUUAAUGAGUGCUCACAAUUACAAAAGAUGUCCAAGAUAGUAUAUUUAUAUGUGAAAUCUCUCUUCCUUCAAUAUUCUUUCAUGAAUUGUUCAAGUGACCAAUUCUAUGUUCGCUAACUUUCAUUAAGUUUACUAGCUAUACUUAUUCUGUGUGAAGUCAUUACUCCCCUUGGUAUAAGCAUAUGAAACAUUUAUAAGUUCAGAUUUAUGAUAUUCAAUUCAUUCAACCAUUUACUCAUAGGAUAUACUUGAAGCACGUGAGUAAAUGACAAACUACCCCAAAAAGAUAUAAGUGAAGAACACUGAGUAGUCAAAUAAUUAACUAGCCAUGGGAGGAUUCUUUUUCAUUCAAGAUUUCAGAUCCAACGAUUUUAUUCAAACAGCAAGUAAAAUUGAAAAUACGCUCCAAGCAAAACACAUAUCAUGUGACGAAUAAAAAUAUAGCUCCGAGUAAGGUAUACCGAUAGUUCUGAAGACGAAAGAGGGGAUGCCUUCCGGGGCAUCCCCAAGCUUAGGCACUUGAGUCUUCCUUGAGUAUUACCUUGGGGUGCCUUGGGCAUCCCCAAGCUUAGUGUCUUUCCACUCCUUAUUCUCCUCAUAUCGAUAUCUCACCCAAAGCUUGAAAACUUCAAUCACACAAAACUUAACGGAACUUCGUGAGAUAGGUUAGUAUGAUAAAGUGUAAACCAUUCACUUUGGUACUGUCAAAGACAAGGUUCAUAAUUUUUAUCACACAAUGCCUACUGUACCAUAUCAUUUCUACAACUUAUAUUGAGAAAUAUAAGCCAUAGAAACUAUAAAACAAGCAAACUAUGCAAUGAAAACAGAAUCUGUCAGAAACAGAAUGGUCUGUAAUGAUCUGAACAUAAACCAUACUUAUGCUACUCCAAAAAUUAUGAAAUAAAUUGGUGGACGUGAGGAAUUUUUCUAUUAAUCUUCUGCAAAAAGAAUCAACUCAAAAGCACUCUUCUGUAAAAAAAUGGUAGCUAAUCCCGUGAGCGCAAAGUUUCUGUUUUUUACAGCAAGAUCACAUUAACUUUCACCCAAGUCUUCCCAAAGGUCUUACUUGGCACUUUAUUGAAACAAAAGCUAUAAAACAUGAUUACUACAGUAGCUUAAUCAUGUAAACACACAAAAACAGUAAGGGUAAAUAUGGGUUGUCUCCCAACAACCGCUUUUCUUUAAUGCCUUUUAGCUAGGCAUGAUGAUUUCAAUGAUGCUCACAUAAAAGAUAAGAAUUGAAACAUAAAGAGAGCAUCAUGAAGAAUAUGACUAGCACAUUUGAAUCUAACCCACUUCCCAUGCCUAGGGAUUUUUUGAGCACAUAAUUUAUAGGAACAAGAAUCAACUAGCAUAGGAAGGCAAAACAAGUAUAACUUCAAAACUUUAAGCACAUAGAGAGGAAACUUGGUAUUAUUGCAACUCCUACAAGAAUAUAUUCCUCCCUCAUAAUAAUUUUCAGUAGCAUCAUGAAUGAAUUCAACAAUAUAACCAUCACACAAAGCAUUCUUUUCAUGAUCUAGAAGCAUAGAAAUUUUUCUACUCUCCACAUAAGAAAAAUUCUUCUCAUUCGGAAUAGUGGGAUCACUAAUUCCUAAAGUUGACACUCUUCCAAACCCACUUUAGAUGAUAAUAUUAUUCAUACUCCAAAAGAUAUAAGUGAAGUUCAUGGAGCAUUCUAAGAUUAAUAUAGACUAACCAAUAUCCAAGCUCAAAAUGUAUAAGUGAAGCACAAGAAGCAUUCUAUAAAACCAUACUCAAAAGAUGUAAGUGAAGCACAAAGGGCAAUUCUAUAAGAUCAUACUUAAAAGAUAUAAGUGAAGCACAUGAAGUAUUCUAUAAAUUGAUGAAGGGACAUCUCAUACUAGAAUGGUUCUUAAAGGAAAAACAAAAACACAAAGGACACAAAUCAUGUGAACAAAACAAAAACCGAGGUAUACCGAUAUUUGUUGAAGAAGAAAGAUGGGAUGCCAACCGGGGCAUCCCCAAGCUUAGAUGCUUGAGUAUCCUUUGAAAUAUUUUCUUGGGGUGCCUUGGGCAUCCCCAAGAUUGAACUCUUGCCUCUCUUUAUUCUUCUCAUAUUGAUAGUUCCCCGAUCUUCGAACACUUCAUCCACACAAAACUUUAACAAAAACUUUGUGAGAUCCGUUAGUGUAAUAAAGCAAACUACCACUUUAAGGUACUGUAAUGAACUCAUUCUUUAUUUAUAUUGGUGUUAAACCUACUGUAUUACAACUUCUUUAUGGUUCAUACCCUCCGAUACUAGCCAUAGAUUCAUCAAAAUAAGCAAACAACACGCGAAAAACAGAAUCUGUCAAAAACAGGACAGUCUGUAGUAAUAUGGAAGUUUAGUAAACUUCUGUAACUCCCAAAAUUAUGAAAUAAAUUUGAAAAUUUGAAAAAUUAGUACAGAAGUAAUGUUCAAAAUCUUUCAGACCCAUUUGACCUUCCAGUAAAAAAAUGUAAAAUCACGCACUACAGCCAAAGUUUCUGUUUUUGUUCUGCACAUAGUAAACAAGAAAUCUAAUCAUCCUAAAACCAAAGCUUGGCUCAUUAUUUUUGUAAUACAAUGGAUAUAUACAAGGGGAUAAUUAUUUACAGAGAAACUUCCAUGAAAAAUUCUACAUUGUUUCCGUGAGCAUGAACACAAGUGCUCAAGGUCGAUCCUCACUUCUUCAAUGCAUAACUUUCCAAUCACUUCUCUUUUUGAAAAACAUUUUAGGCAUGAGAGGCAAGUAAUUUUUUUUGUAUUUUCAUUCUUUAACUUUUUUGUAUGUUUCACCCACAACUAAACAGAAACAAAAAGGAAAAAAAUAUACUUAGUGAAGAAAGCAAACAAGCACACAGGAGAAUAUCAACCCCACGCUAUUGCUCCCCAGCAACGGCGCCAGAAAAGAGCUUGAUAAUCCCCAAGUGCAGGGAAUCAUCGUAGCAAUUUCCAAAGGUGGAAGUGAUAAGUAUGGAGUGUCGAACCCACAAGGAGCUAAAGGUAAGAUCAAUAUUCUCUCAAGCCCUAUCUGCCACUGAUACGACUCUACGUGCACCGAACGUUUGCUUCCAACUAGAAACGAGAAAUAAAACUACGUUGUGGGUAUGAAGAGGAUAACUUUGCAUGGUAUCGGAGAGCUAAAAUAUAAAAGUAGGUGCUGUUAUCAUAAAGUUAGAAUAUAAUACUAAAUAUUAUAAAUAGCGAGUGUGGAAUAAUGAUGGAUCGGUGUGCGGAAUUGUCCUAGGCAAUUGUUAACAAGACCGGUAGUCGUCAUUGCAAUUUCAUAUGAGGGACAGGCAUAAGCUAACAUAAUUUCUCUUCUUGGAUCAUAUGCACUUAUGAUUGGAACUCUAGAAAGCAUCCGCAACUACUAAAGAUCAUUAAGGUAAAACCCAACCAUAGCAUUAAAGCAUCAAGUCCUCUUUAUCCCAUACACAACAACCCCCUUACUCGGGUUUAUGCUUCUGUCACUCAAGCAACCCACUAUAAGCGAAUCAUAAACGUAUUGCAACACCCUACAGCGGGAAUCCCUCAUGCUUGCGCGACACGGAGGGCACAAUAGGACAGCACCAAAAUAAAACAUACAACUCGUACCAAUCUAGAUCAUCAAUCAACCCAAAGACAAAGGAUAUCUACUCAAAACAUCAUAAGAUGGCAACACAUCAUUGGAUCAUAAUAUGUGGCAUAAAGCACCAUGUUCAAGUAGGGAUUACAGCGGGGUGCGGGAGAGUGGACCGCGUAAAAGAGAUGAGGAUGGUGAUGAUGAUGGUGAUGUUGAUGAACACGAUCACCGCGGUGAUGAUUCCCCUCCCGAUGGCACUCCGGGGCCACCGAGAGAGAGGAGGAGAGGUUCUCCCCCUUGUGCUUCCUCCUCCAUGGCCUGCCCCCUAGAUGGGGAGAGGUUCUACCUCUGGUCCUUGGCCUUCAUGGCGAUGAUGGCCCCUCCGAGAUCCUCCUCCAUGGCUUCCGGUGAUGAUGGCCCCCUCCGGCAGGGUGCCAGAGAGGGCCUAGAUUGAUUUCUCGUGGUUACAGAGGCUUGCGGCGGCGGAACUUCUAGGUUAUUUUCUGGGGGUUUCUGUAUUUAUAGGAAUUUUUGGCGUUGGUUUCACGUCAGGGAGGUCUCCGAGUCGUCCACGAGGCAGGGGCCCACGCCCAGGGGGGUGGGCGCACCCCCACCCAUGUGGACAGCCCGGGACUCUUCUGGCCCAACUCUUUUGCUCCAGGGGCUUCUUUUGGUACAUAAAGAAUCAACAAAAAUUGGCAUGUCAAUUGGACUCCAUUUGGUAUUCCUUUUCUGUAAAACUCAAAAGCAAGGAAAAAACAGAAACUGGCACUGGGCUCUAGGUUAAUAGGUUAGUCCCAAAAAUCAUAUAAAAUAGCAUAUAAAUGCAUAUAAAACAUCUAAGAUGGAUAAUAUAAUAGCAUGAAUACUUCAUAAAUUAUAGAUACGUUGGAGACGUAUCAAUGAAGAGGGCAUAGAGGAUCAACAAUGAUUCCUUCUCGUGGUUGGAAUGCGAGAGGGAAUGGAGGGAAGCGAAGGCGGUAGCAGAGGCGGAAUCGGAUCCGAUACUCAGAUCCAGAAGAGAGAGGUAUGUUCAAACUUGGCGGAUCCAGGCAGACUGAGAGAUGAAGAAUUUUGCAAGAAGGAUUCACUUUGAAGGUACCGCGGAGGAGAGAGCGCAGAUGCUGCCUUUCCCACUCUCACCGUCGGUGGACUUCAUUCAUUGGGCGAGGGGAGAGGGGAUAUUCAGCGAUCUGAGGAGGAAAGGGAGGUGGAUUUGUCUCGUGGGACUGUGUCCAGCAAGCGUUCCACCGCUGCCGGAACCAGUGGAUCCUCUGCAAUACUUGUCGCCAGCAAUUUGAAUUCCUCUGCAGUUUCAGUCUGUGACAGAAGAGAGGAGGAUGAGCUUGAUGAACAGACGGUUAGAAUUUGACCCCCGUGGAUGUAGGAAAAAUGAUGAAGCUGGAUAUGCUGAUUGCUUAGUUGGAUCUCGACCUGGAGGCAGAUUCUGGGCGUUGGAGCAAAUUGAAGAAGAUGGUGAAAAAUGUUCAGCGGAGAGUGAAGCUGGACAGAGUCCAUAUAUAGCGACUUUAGCUGAUGCUUUUGCUUGUGCUAAGAGGGAAUCGAAGAAGAAAAUCAAAGGCAAGCAGAAGAGGGACAAAUUAUGCAAAUUGGGUGUUGUUGACCGCAUUUCAGAGAAGAUUGUGGCUCCUGUAUUUAGUUAUGUAAAUGUUCCUCCUUGUCGUAAAUCCAGGCAUGUGCUUCCUGUUGAGUGUGAUUCAGUUACUAAGGAUUGCUGGUACCAAAUUGUUGGUGGUAAGCCAGUUGAUGUGGGUGUGGGUUUUGAGCCGAAUUGUAUGCAGAUGGGACAUGACGGGAGAGGUCAUUAUCUACCAGCACGCAGCUUGGUUGAUGCGCCGCUCUCCACACGGUCGCCAACACGCCCGGAGGGUGAAUUUGGAGAUGAUUUAGAGUUCAGGUUUUUUUCCUGUUUUGAUUCAAACUAUGCAUCGGAAUGGGCCGGUUGGUGGUGGGCUGGGUCAGAAAUAUGGGUGCAUAUUGGAGCCCAAAAAGGGGAGUGGGGUGCUACAACUUGGUCAAAGAUAGGUCGUUAACCCUAAUCACUUUUUGCACUCUAGGAUUUCCCAUUUGUGGUGCCCGUCCUCGGCCACCGCCACUCGUGAUAGGUAGAUCCGGGAGGAAAGAUGGAUGGGCAUUUUGGUUCUGGGCGUGUAAAUGGAGGGAGGGAUGGUGGAGGUGGUGGAAGCUGGAGACCAAAUCAAGGUUAUGGGAGAGAAUUCCAAUUUGACAAAUACGAUCAAGGUCCUUAGGUCCGACCCCGACCGUCGUUUCAAAAUUUCCAAGGUAACCAGCACUAGAACUUCCCGCGUAGAGAGCCAGGAUACGGGGAUUGGGGACAAGAUGGUGGCAAUCGAGGUAUGUAUCAGUACCCUCGUCGGCCGCCACUGCAAAACACUAAUCUACCCCUACUACUAGCAAAAAAACAACAGAAGAUGAGUACAACCACUAUCAGUGGUGGAGGAGGGGGUAGCGAUGUUCAGACUUCCAAGCCUAAUUCCGCUGGGGCAGUGGUGGCAGGGAAUCAAAGCUCGAGGGUGAUUUCUGAUAGCAAUGUUUCUUCUAUGGACAAGGUUAUCUGUCAUAAGUGUGGUGAGAAAGGUCAUAACUCUAAAGGAUGUGAGGCAAAAGUAAAGUGUGUGAUCUAUACUAAGGAUUCUCAUGUACUUGAAUUUUGUGCUUGGCUUCAUCAGAAAAAACUUGUGGCUACUCUGGUUGGUUUUGGUGGGGAGGGGCUUGGAUUGUUUGUGGCAGAGCAUGCAAAGGAGAUUUCCAGUGCUAAUAAAAAUGAAGUUGUGGCUUUGGUGAGACUGAGGGAGGGAUGUGAUUUAGAAGUGGAUGCUGACAUGUUAAUUAAAAGCUUGGCCGAAACUUAUCCAUGGAGGUGGGACUUGAAAGCUAGAAAAGUUUCUGAAGGAGUUUUUUUGGCAAACUUUCCUUGAGCUACUAGAAUUGAUGAAGUUGCUAUAUAUGGCUGGGUCCCUUUAAAGGGAGGAAAUAUCUUGGUGAAUGUGAAAAUCUGGAAUGAUGAUGCAAUGGCUGUAGGAAAACUCGCUGCGGUUUGGGUCAGAGCAAAAGGUGUACCAAAGACUAUGAAGAAUUUCCAUGGGCUAUGUGAAAUUGGCUCAAUGAUUGGUUACAUUCAGGCUGUGGAUAUGCAGUUAGUAAGUAAAACAAGCUUGGUUGGAUUGAAAGUUGUUGUGGUGGAUUACAGAAAAAUUCCUAGAUGGACCAAGUUAACAAGUCCCAAUCUCAUGGUUUACAUAAUCUUCUUUGAAAUGGAAGAAGUAGUAGAUGAAGGAUGGGCUAAGGAAGAUGAUGAAUUAUCUCAAGGCUAUGAAGACUGGAUGGAUUUUCAGCAAGAGGAGGAGGAUAGCAGAGAUCCCAAAAAAGCAAAACACAAUGAAGAUGAGGCAGACAAUAGACCAAUUCGUGCAAGUACACAGACCAAGAUUGUUGUGGAUGAGAAAGAUGUUGUUAUAAAGGAACAGGAGGAAUAUGAUAUUCGGUUGUACUAUAAACACAAAGAUAAGGAUGUUGAAGACAAAAAGGAAGAAGAAACUGGCUUUGUUUUUGUGAAUAGAGGAGGUGGAAAAGAAAAUGAGGAGGAAGAGCAAAACACUGCUGAUGAUAAAAAUUUAGAUGAUGAAGUUGAGAUGUCUCAGUCUGUCAGUUUGGGGACUAAACUAGGGAUUAGGGUACAUGAAGAUAUGACUAUACACAAUACCAAUGAUAAGAAUUCUGACCAAGGUACACAGAGGUAUAGUGGAAGGAUAGCUUCAAAGAACAAAGAUGAUAUCGCAAUGUUAGAUAGAGCUAUAUGACUCUGGCUAGGGCCAAAAACCUAGCUUUAUCUAAAGGUAUGUCAUCUAAUGUUGUUGAUGAAUAUUCUGAAAAUGUAGAACUAAUUGAUGUUGCUAAUUUGAUAGGAAUUGACUUAGGGGUUUCUUCGGGUUUGGUGGAGUACAGUUUAAAACUAAUUUCCUCUCAUGAAAAAGCUAGAAGAGAGAUAUUUUUAGCUAAUACCAAGGAGGAAUCUAGUGAACAGGAGAAUGAGAAUGUCUUGGAACUUGAGGAGGUUAAUUCUAUACUUCAGGACUUAUUACAAUUAAGUAGGGAAGGGGAUGAGGAACAUAUGGAUGAUCAUUCGGAAAGUCUAUUUGGUGGUAUGAGGACAGGUCUUAAAGCAAACAGUGCUCAUUUUGAGGAUGUUGCUGUUAAGACACCACUAAAAACAGUGUUGAGUAGGAGGAAAACAGUGCUCAUUGGCUCAAUCUCUCUCCCAUAAGCAGCGUUGAAUCUGUCAACAGAGUAGUACUCAUGCACAAAUUGUUCAAGGUCUACUCUCUUUUGUGAGGUCACGAAGGCCAAGACAUGCGGACAUGGCUUACCAGUAUGCUACCAUUCAAGACAAGUGUUGGAAAUAUGAACUAGAUGCAAUAAUAAUGUAUUAUUAUAUUUCCAUUUUCAUAAUUAAGAGUUUAUAUUUCAUGUUAUAACCAUUGUGAUCCUAGAAUAAGUGAUUCAGUGAAAAACUCAUAUGCACAUGUGGAAUGGUAAACGGUAAAUAAUAGGUUCCUAGUCUUGCCUCUAAGACUGACUCAAGUGUUGUUCGUGAUCAUGUUUCCUGGAUCUUAGGAUAUCGUUAAGUGUAACGAUAGUCCUAAAACAACAUUGAAGGUAUGAUGUUAGAAGAAUGAUCAUAUUGAAUCGAUCCAAUAUUGUUUGUUAUACUUUGAGAUAAUAUCGUCUGAAAUCAAUUGUUAUAACACGGAGUGUUAGUAUGUGUUUUUAGUUCCUCAGACGAUGAAUCUUGGGGUUUCUCAAACAUCAUCUGUAACACGGUGAUCAUAACGACAACUUACAGGUUCAUCUAAAAGUUUGACAAGGGACUAGAUAGCUCGAGAGAGGGAUUUGCUCCUCCGACAAUGGAGAGAUAUUCUUAGGGCCCUCUUGGUGUGACGGAAUCCAUCAUCGUCUGGCCAGACACAGGUGAUUACGUCAUAGGGAUGCCGGAACACUUCAAUGGGAGAAGAACAAAACCGGUGACAAGAUCAAUGGUAUAAUGAGCAUGUGCAUGAAUCAGUAGGAUACCAAUGCAUCCCGACUUUUGUAAAGUAUCCCGAUGCAAAGGGAACAUCACAGGAUAACCGAAGGUUCACUCGAAUUUCAUUCGUGUAAUCAUAGGGAUCGAUAUGGACAUCCACGGUUCCACUAUCGGUCAUUGAACGAAGAAGUUUCGUUCAUGUCUAGGAUUUACCAAACCUACAGGGUCACAAGCUUAAGGUAAUCACGACCUGCUGAGUGUUAGUAGGAUGAGAGCAUCGAUGAUUUAUUUAUGGAAUUGUUUCAUUAAGAACAUUUACAUUUAUGACCCUAAUUUGCGCCGACUCUCAGAUUUACCCCUAACUUUUUGAUGUGCUCAAAUUUGCCCUAAAAAGAAUUUAGGUCACGAGAAUGCCCUUCCAGCUGGUCAAAGUUGUUUGACCAAAACUUUGAAAAAUCAUAAAAAAUUCAUAUGAGCUCAAUAUGUUCGUUAAAAUAUCACCUAUACACGCAUGUCAUUUAUGUUCAUCAACUACACGUGCAUUUAUUUGCAUUCACCCUAAAUAGUUUUUAAUGUUAUGAACCCUAAAAUGCUUUAAAGUGUGCUUUUGUCAUGCACGUAAAUGACACGUGCAUAUAGGUGAUGUUUUUAUGAACAUUUUGAUAUCUUAUUUUGCAUUCUUCUAAGUUCAUAUGAAUUUGUUAUGAAUUUUGAAAGUUUCGGUCAAACAACUUUGACCAGAUGGAAGGGCAUUUUCGUGACCUAAAAUGCUUUUUAGGUGCAAAUUUGAGCACAUAAAAAUGUUAGGGGUAAAUCUAAGAGUGGGCGCAAAUUAGGGUCAUAAAUGUAAAUGUACCUGAAUGAAAUAAUUCCACAAAUAAAUUCUCGAUACUCUCAUCCUGCUAACACUCAGCAGAUCGUGAUUACCUUAAGCUUGUGACCCUGUAGGUUCGGUAAUCAUAGACAUGAACGAAACUUCUUCGUUCAAUGACCAUAGUGGAACCAUGGAUGUCCAUAUCGAUCCCUAUGAUUACAUGAAUGACAUUCGAGUGAACCUUCGGUGGGUUCAAGUUAGGGUCACAUCAAAAAGUUAGGGGUAAAUUUGAGUAGUGGGUUCAAGUUAGGGGCUCAAAUGUGAAUGUCCCGUUCAUUAAUGUUCAAAAUAGUUUUGAGAGGAAUCGGAAGCGUUUAGGGGUCACCGGAAGGGUUUCAGAGUUUAUCGGGAAAUACCGGGUAUUAUCGAUAAAUAAUAUAUAGGUGGAAAAUGUUUUGGUUGAUGUUAAAUUAUAUAUAGAAGGCCCUGGUAAUUGUUAGAGGGCUUUUAUAGUUAAUUUAAUAUCAACAUGCCUUAAAAUGUCUAGUGGUGAAAGGCAACUUGGGCCACCAAGGCCCAACUGGAGGUGGGGUCCGCCCUUUCCUGUAGGACGUGAUGAUUAUCAAAUUGCAAAAUUGAGUGAAUCAAUGAAUUGACCAACAUGUCGAGCAAUAAGAAGCGAAACAUAUGAAUUCCAUGGUCGACGAGCCCGGCGGGCACCUUCUCCCCACUUGUGCAAUCGCAUCGCAAAACUUCAUGAUGAAGUUGGAGAUGGUGUACCACCGGUGGGCCAGUGACUUCACAUUGUGUUCAUGGAUCAAGUAAAAGGCAUAGGGCAUGAAGUGCUUUUGCUCAUGAAACGGAAUAUGCAUGGUUUGCCAAAAGGUCGAGCUCCAUUGUCUCAUGCCUAGAAAGUCCGCAGAUAUGACCUUUCAAGCAUCACACAAUAAUCAUUCUCCAUCAUUGAGUACCCCGUCAUUGUGCUUACUCUAGAAAACACCAAGAAGGAAAAAAGAAAGCUCAAUGACAUUUGAUCGAACACCUGCCGGGCGUGCUGUCCGCCAUGGACCGUGUCGACAGGUGGCCAGGGGAGGGGGCGGUAUCUGGCUGUGGACAAUUCCUGAGUGGAUGGUGGUAUAGUCCAAGGUGGAUAGGUGCAUGGGUUGGGCUGCGGACAUCCGGCAAUGCCUGGGCGGCGGCUGGAGAGAUACACCGACGGCGUCGGACGAGGACGGGUUGGGUGCAGAGCAAGGGCAGAGCAGAGACGAAGUGGGAGAAAAAUGAUCCAGCAGGAGGGGAUUUGAGUGGGCCGAGAGUGUUGGACGCAUACUUGGUGAAGGUCUGGGUGCCCACAAACCUCCUGGUUUGUGUCCGGUUUACAGGAAUGCAUACAAACGUACGCAUAUAUGGAUAAAUACAGAUAUCCGAACAACUCAGUUCAUCACAUCGUAUACUGGCGUUUCAAGGGUUUGGGAAUGCCUGCCCUCAAGGGUCAGGAGGAGGGAGGAGGGGAGGGGAGACCGGCAACACGAUCUAGGGUUCCCUCCCCGUCGCCAUGCGGGGGCGACGCGUCAGGGAGGAGUGUUGGUGUUUUUCCCCUCUACUGGUGCUAUAUAUAGUGUAUCCCUGCCGUUCUUGUAUACAUGACAUCAGUGAAUCAGGAUGUAUAAGAAGGUAGUCACGCAAGGGAUAAUAUUUUGAGCGUAAAGCGUAGAGAACUUUCCCGGGCGGCAUCAGAUGCUAAUCACAUGCGAGUUAUAGCCCUUUUUGUCUUUUAUGAAUGUGCCUUUUUAAAACGGAGCGAAAUUAAUCUAUAUAUAUACUAAUAUAAAAAGACCCAAAGAAACAUAUCCAAUUAAUCUCGGCCAUCAAAUCAUGUCAAUCCAAUAACCUAGACUGCUUCAAUGUUCGAGCGUUCAGCACGUUUAACGUGCAGUUAAUUUCAUGCCAAAAAUAGUGUUAAUCACAUAAUAACAUGCAAAAUAAUAUUCUAUUUAAUAUCCGCAUGCACUUAAUAUACUUCCAAAUUAACGUGCAUUGCACGUACACAUUGACUAGUCAUUAAGAAAAAGCAGAAACGACCAAAGCAUCAUUUGGUUUUACAGCUAAAAAUAUUUGUGUUGUGCAUGGAGAUGGAGACAGUGAUGGCGUACAAAUGAACAUAUAAUGUAAGCGUACAUGUGAAUUCUCUUCCAUGCGGCGUAUAAUGUAAGCUUACAUGUGAAUUCUCUUCCAUGCGGGCAUAUGGAAUUAUACCACAUGGUACGAAAGAUUUAGUCGGCCAUGUACUUCGUUCGAUUGUUGUUUUAUAUAUAAAGCGGGAUGAAAGUCAGUUUCGAGAGCUGCGGCUUGCAGGGCUGGAUGCAAAUGCCUAGCUUGUAAGGCCAGACUAAGAAUAAAGCUGCAUGUAUGCACAUAUAUUCUGCCUGGAAACGUAUGGACUUAAUUUAUUUAUUUUUGAGGAUUGAAAUGCAUGAACUUUACAUGAAGCAGCCAAAGUUUCUACAAACUAGCUAGGUGCAAUCAGCACAAAGUCCUCCACUUAGCCAAGUUUCUACUGACUGGGUGCAAUCAGCACAAAAUCCUCACCUCACCUUUGUAAUCCUGCUCAGUAAAUUACAGGUGCUUGAUUAAUCAUGGCUCCGUGUUGAGCUCGUGACACGCGUUUGAUUCACUUCGGUUUCUAAUGUCAGCUGAACUAACAAGCCGAGGUUGACUUGGAUGACAGUUACUCUCUUCGUUUUUAUUUACUCCGCAUAUUAGAGUUGACUGAAGUCAAACUUUCUAAAGUUUGACAAAGUUUAUAAAAAAAAUAUUUACCAUAACAAAUCUAUAUGAUGUGGAAGUACAUUUGAUAAUGAAUCUAAUGGUAUUGAUUUGUUAUUGUAUAUGUUAAUAUUUUUGUUUGUCAAAGUUUAUAAAAUUUGACUUUGACUAAAGCUAAUAUGCGAAGUAAAUAAAAACAGAGGAAGUACUAUUUUGUUUCCCUGCAGGCAUGCAUGGUAAUCCGCAUCUCACCCUGCAUAAAGAUCAUUGGAAUCAGAUCUAAUACCUUUCUUUGGCCGGUCACACACUCUAGCUAGGGUUCUUCGACGCAGGUUGCUUGCGUAGUUUUUUUUAGAAACAACAUUGACGUACACAUACAGUCACACCACCACACACACUCACACUCAAACAAAUGCCUACUGAAGGCCCGAUCGAAGUUGCGGGCUUUGAAAUUGAUGGAAUCACCACAUGUGUCUCGUUAUUUGAUAUUUACUUAUGAGUUAUGAAUAAAUAAUAUGAAAAACAAAUCUUAAGGGUUUUUCAAACCACAUUUAACAGGAGACGUUCCAUUCGGUUCAAACAUUUAAAAAUAUUUUUUUUCUUUGUUUAUUUUUGUGGUGCAACUAGACUUUGGUCAACUUAGUUAAUCAUACGGCAGUCCAAUAUCCGGGGUGGGCCCCGCCUGUCAUCGUGCAAGGCUACCAACGUCUCCGUCCCCCUCUUUCCAUCGCAGCCCACCUCCGCUAUAAAUACCACUCACUCAAAAUAAAAUAAUGAGCUCGACCGCCGACGGAAGCAGCUCGCGGUCGGCUCUCAGUCUACUCUCCGUCGCGUCGUCGACAGGCGCCGCGGCAGCAGCGGCCAGCGUCCGUCGGGAGACAGAGAUUUCCUCUUGGCGGGGGCCGAAUCCAAUCCGUAAGUCGAAAUCUCUCUCUGUGCUUGCUCUCGGAUCCCCACCCGCCCCCUACAGUCCCACAGUACUUCCCUGCUGCCAAUGCCCGCCUCGCCGCCGUUCCCGCCGUUUUCUUGGGGUCUCGGUGAGGAAUCCGAGGGUACUGGUUCUGGAUUGACCCCCCGGUAAUGGAGGCCCUGCUGGCUGUUGCCGCUGGGUUACUCCUGUGUGCCCGUCCUCAAGGUGUUCGAUGGAUUGUGGGCAGGGUGUUCCGUCCGGCUGGUCGAUCUCGUUCCAGUCCUUCCAGGUUCCAGCCCGUUUACAGUCAGUUGCUGAAAAUGUGCACGGAACGCAUGAAAAUGUAGGCUGUGCACAGGUUGUUUGCUUGCUUGCAAUUCCAAGCAUUGUUUCCUCUUUGCAGGAAGCAUAGUGCCACAAGUGGUCUGCUUGUUUGCUUGUGCUCAGGAAAAGAAAAAGUUGUAUCUUCUGUUUGUUUGCUUGCUGUCCGCUUCAGUGUUUGUUCCAUCUUAAGCAUGGUACAAGUAUAGUCGCUUUGUUUCGUGGGCAUAAUCCAAAGUUUGUGCGGAUGCAGCUUUUGUUCUCUCUUGCAUAGCGAAAGUGUGUGGAAACUGGAAUCUGUUGAGAGUAGUAUGGCCACGCCAAACGUUUUGGCUUUCACUUAAGGACCACACAUUGCUUCUUGACUUUCUUGGAUGCUUGCCGGCCCAGCCUUGGAACUGUACCUUCCUAGCUAGUAAUGGUGUAGAUAGAUGGUUAAUAUAAAUGAGGCACAGACCAAACCUUUGUGUUGCUUCCUAGAAAUGAGUGUAUUUCCUUAAUUUUUUUUUUGUCAAAACGUCUGUCGUUGUUCUCCCAAGUUGCUUUCUUGCGGUAUUCAAUCCAUUUUUUAUUACUGCAAUUGCUUCAUUCGAAUUGAGGUUUCAGUCCGUUUACCGUCAGUUGCUGAAAAUGUGCACGAAACGGAUGAAAAUGCCGGGACAUGCGCUCUUUGUUUACCGUUUAUACCGUCAUUUGUUUGGUUGCAGGAUGCACCCGGUCUUAAGCAUAGUAUAUAUAAAGUUGUAUGCUCUGUUUUGUUUGUUUGCUUGCUGUCUGAGGAUUGAGACAAGGGCAUAAUCCAAAGUUUGGCACCUGCUCCUGCACAUUUAUGUGUUGGAAACUGGAAUCUGUUCAGAGUAGUAUGGCCACGCCACAUGUUUUGGCUUUAACUCAAGGACCACAUUGCUUCUUGACUUUCUUGGAUGCUUGUUGGCCCAACUUUGCAACUCUACCUUCCUAAUAGUAGUAUAAAUCAGGCACAUACAAUUUUUUUUGUGUUGCUUGAGAUUUGGUGUAUUUACUUAAUGUGUUUAGUUGAAUCAUCUGUCAUUGUUCUCCCAAGUUGCUUUUCCUCGCGAUAUUCAAUCCGUCGGGUUUUUAAUUACUGUAACUGCUUCAUUCAAAAUUGAUAUUUGCUUCUUUGUUGUUGUUUUCCUUUCAACGCUUGGGCUGAGGCUUCAAAUAAUGGUGCUCUUUAACAUGGACUUUGUUACUUUAGAGAAUGCAAGAAUUAUGCAAUUGUAUCAUGAUAACAUCUGCUCUAUGUUUUUUCUACAGGGAGUUUCCAACACAUAAGUAGUUUGCUAACAUGAAGACAAGCAUCCAGUAGACUUUGCACCAUUUGAGUCACAAUGGAGAUAUCUUUUCUCAUGUUGUUGGUUCUCUCUCUGCUUCUGUUUCCUAAUGGCAUCUGCAAGGGUUUAGCUGCGAGGCCUCCUGUUGUGAAUAUUGGGUCUAUUCUUCAAUUUAACUCCACCACUGGAGGUGUUGCCGCGGUUGCCAUCCAUGCAGCCUUGGAAGAUAUCAACUCUGAUCCAACAGUUCUAAAUGGAACUACACUAAAGGUUCAAAUCAAGGAUACAAAUUGCUUUGAUGGUUUCCUUGGCAUGGUUCAAGGUACGCUAGCUUUAAUGUCACGCAUUCAUUUGGCAUUGUUGAAAUAGUUUUUGCUUCUCUUGUGGAAUUGUGACAAUGAUACCGUAUUCCUUGUAUCAGCUUUGCAGUUCAUGGAGACUGAUGUUGUUGCACUCAUUGGCCCUCAGUGCUCUACAAUUUCUCAUAUCAUUUCAUAUGUAGCAAAUGAGCUUCGAGUCCCUUUGAUGUCCUUUGCUUCUGAUGCAACUCUUUCAUCGAUACAAUUCCCGUUCUUUGUCAGGACUGGUCCCAAUGACCUCUAUCAAAUGGCGGCUGUGGCAGAAGUUGUUGACUACAACCACUGGAAGAUUGUGACUGCCAUAUACAUUGACAAUGUUUAUGGUCGAAAUGGCAUUGCUGCUUUGGAUGAUGCACUUGCUUUAAAGCGCUGCAAAAUCUCCUACAAAGUUGGGUUUCCUUCCAAUGCUAAAAGAAGUGAGCUCAUAAAUUUGUUGGUUAGUGUCAGUUAUAUGGAGUCUCGUGUUAUCAUUCUCCAUACUGGAGCUGAACCUGGACUCAAGCUUUUCUCUAUGGCAAAACAACUGAACAUGAUGGGCAACGGCUAUGUGUGGAUUGCAACUGACUGGCUGUCUGCAUAUCUUGAUGCUAAUUCAUCAGUUCCUGCUGAGACUAUAUCUGGCCUGCAAGGUGUUCUUACUUUACGGCCACAUAUCCCCAACUCAAAGAUGAAGAGUAAUUUGGUCUCCAAAUGGAACAAGCAAAGUAAAAAGUCCAACUAUAGUGAUCUUCGUGUAAAUACUUACGGUUUUUAUGUUUAUGAUAGUGUCUGGGCAGUAGCUCGGGCUCUGGAUGCCUUCUUUGAUGAUGGUGGUCGGAUUUCCUUUUCAAAUGACUCGAUGUUGCAUGAUGAAACUGGAGGAACUCUUCACCUUGAAGCAAUGAGCAUUUCUGACAUGGGAAAUAAAUUAUUGGAGAAGAUUAGAAAGGUAAACUUCACUGGGGUGUCUGGGCAAGUGCAAUUCGAUGCUGGAGGCAACCUAAUUCAUCCUGCAUAUGACAUCAUAAACAUCAUCGGAAAUGGCAUGCGGACCAUUGGUUUUUGGUCAAAUUAUUCUGGCUUGUUGUCGACUGUCUCUCCAGAGGCUCUAUAUUCAAAGCCUCCUAAUAUUUCUCUCGCUGAUCAGCAUCUCUAUGAUGUUAUUUGGCCUGGGGAGACUGCACAGAGGCCUCGAGGAUGGGUUUUUCCUUCUAAUGCCAAGCAGUUGAAAAUUGGUGUUCCCAACAGAUUUAGUUUCAAAGAGUUUGUCACGAAAGACAAUUCUACUGGGUCAAUGAAGGGUUAUUGCAUCGAUGUCUUUACUCAGGCAUUGGCUUUGCUUCCUUAUCCUGUUAGUUACAAGUUUGUACCUUUUGGGAAUGGUACUGAAAAUCCUAAUUAUGACAAACUCGUACAGAUGAUUGAAUCAAAUGUAAGUAUGGAAUGCCUUUUUUCUUCCUCUAACCAUUUCAUCAUCUUUAUCGAAAAAACCAUUUCAUCAUACCAUGCUGACCAGGGGGGGUCUUAUCCUGCAGGAAUUCGAUGCCGCUAUAGGGGAUAUCGCAAUUACAAUGAGGCGGACAGUAACUUUAGAUUUCACCCAGCCAUUCAUUGAAACAGGCUUAGUUAUCUUGGCUCCGGUUAAACAGCAUAUAACAUCGUCCUGGGCAUUCUUGCAGCCAUUUACUUUGCAGAUGUGGUGUGUUACAGGGUCGUACUUCCUUAUUGUGGGUGUGGUUGUUUGGGUUCUUGAACAUCGGAUCAAUGAUGAUUUCCGUGGUUCAGUACGUCAACAAAUAAUAACUAUUUUCUGGUAAGGAGCUGACUUGCACCUUUUGUAUCGUCUUCUUGUAGUAUAUCAUUCCUGUUUUCUUAGAAAUGUUGAUGUUUCGACAAGUCUUGUGCAAUAUGUUUGCAUACAGCAAGCACCUCAGAACAGUUGCCAGUUAACAUACCCAAAUGAAGCAUCUAGUGAUUACCAAGGAACUACUCCCUCUGUUCACUUUUAUAAGGCCUUGAAGACAUUUCAGACAAGGUGCAAAGUAGCUCAUUUUCAGUUGUCUGAAACGACUUAUAAAAGUGAGCGGAGGGAGUAUUAUCUUAAUGGUCUUGUGAAACGUAUAUAUGCACAGUAUGUAUUCGCUUAAUGAUAUUUAUGAUGCAUUGCUCAAUUUUUUUUUCUGUUUUCACAUACUUCUCCACAUGUAUUACAAAUGUUCUUAUCAUGGCGUGAUUCCUUGCUCUCAGAUGUGAUUAUAAUUUCUAUUUUUAUUGCCUGCAGGUUCAGCUUUUCGACGUUGUUCUUUGCACACAGUGAGUAAACCAACCUUCUCUAUUAUGUGUUUUUUUGGCCAUAGGUAACAUUUUGUUCUGAGGCAUGGCUCGUGAUUUCAUCUGUAUCUGCCCGCAGGAGAAAAUACUAUGAGCAGCUCAGGGCGUGGUGUCCUGAUCAUAUGGCUGUUUGUUGUUUUGAUAAUUGUAUCCAGCUACACCGCGAGUCUUACUUCCAUCCUGACCGUGCAACAACUUGAUACUUCUAUAAAAGGAAUCGAUGACCUGAAAAGUAGCAAUGAUCCUAUUGGUUUCCAAGUUGGUUCUUUUGCACAAGACUACAUGGUCAAGGAGCUCAACAUCUCACGUUCAAGGCUGAGAGCUCUCAGUUCACCACAAGAAUACGCUGAAGCCCUCAAGCUAGGCCCCAAGGAAGGAGGUGUUAUGGCCAUUGUUGACGAGCGCCCCUAUGUUGAACUGUUUUUGUCAACCUACUGCAAGAUUGCGGUAGCUGGCACAGAUUUCACCAGCAGAGGAUGGGGCUUUGUAAGUACAUUUGAACCAUAUUCUUUAAUGUAGAUUUGAAUAUGAGAACAAAAUAUUUUGAAGUUAAUAUCCUGGAAUAGCAGUUUUAACUUUGAAUAGUUGUGUCAACUAUCUAGUUUAUUAUGCAACUUCAUUUGCACCUGUCUGCGGCUGCAAGUCUAAAAUCUACACCUACUUUGUUUCACAAAUCAAAAUGUAGCGCCUUACAAGUUCAUUCUACCAGGCAUUUCCAAGGGACUCCCCUUUGCAAGUAGACCUCUCCACCGCAAUCCUGUCAUUGUCAGAGAAUGGGGAACUGCAGCGAAUCCAUGACAAGUGGCUCAAGACAGGGGAGUGCGCAACUGACAACAGCGAGUUCGUUGACUCGGACCAGCUCCGCCUUGAGAGCUUCCUUGGUCUGUUCCUAAUCUGUGGCGUUGCAUGCAUCCUCGCGUUGCUAAUCUACUUUGGUAUCAUGCUACGCAAAUACCUGAGGCAUGACCAGAGGAAGAGCCUGAGAAGAUUCAUCUCAUUCGUCCAUGGCAAGGAUCCGCCGAAGAACAACGAGAGGCGGUCCAUGAGCCUGCUUGGAAGCUCGACGCCGGCAACGCCGAUGAGCAGCCUUACUACCCUUGAGAUAGAAAGGCCGGCCAGGGAAGUCAGAAAUGGCAGCGUUAUUGAAAUGGAAAGCUAGUUCAUGUGUACAAAGCUAGUUUGUGCGUUAUCUCUCAAGGCAGCUGGGUAACUGUUUUGUGUGAAGCAACAAUACGGCCGACUAACCUAGGUCCCGGUAACCUAGGUUGGAAAGCCAAACACCAGGGAUGUAUAGAGGGGUUUCAAAUACUUCUUAAAGGAAGGAUUGAUAAUAAAAAUUAAAAAUAUCGAAAUGCUCCUCUCUCCCACAUAGAUCACUUUAUUCUUUGCAUGACUGUAUUUUUUGGGGAUAUCUUGCCACUUCAGAGUUGGCGUUUGGUGGUGUGAUCUGUGCAUGUGUUCAAUUGCGCGUAGUGUGGUUAUUCCAAGUUAGUACGAUUGUGUCACUUCAGUUUGAUAGUAUGCAGGGACAGAACCUGCCGGCUGCAGCUAGUACGGUUUGAUAUGUGACGAUGCCUGUAGAUUGUGGUACUAAACUUUGAUGCUUGUUCAUAAACUAGUUUAGAUGGAGCCACCCAAAAGAUAUGUUAGUUUUUCUUUUUUUGGCUUAGAUACUCUGUUUUGUCUGUGUUCUGUUCAGGGCAACUUUGAAGCUUAUCUUAGGGUGGUGGACAGAAAAAUGUUUAGCACCUUCCACAACUCAUAAGGAAGAUAAUUAAAAAGAGUGUAGGAAGAAAUAGUUAUGAUCUUAUUAGGAAAGCUAAGAAGAAAGCCAACACUAGGUUUUUGUUUUUCUAACUCUAUGGCUACACUGUAAAAUUAUUUAUAGAUUAGCUCCAAUUGAUGCAAAUCUUUUUGGUGGGUCUGGGAUGCGACUGAGUCAGAUCAAUCCCAAGUUACUCCCUCCGUCCCAUAAUAUAGGAUGUUAUUACAUCUAAUAUGUGAGCAUAUUAGGUGUAAUAACGUCUUAUAUUAUGGGACAGAGGGAGUAGCUACUUGUCUCUCUCAAAUUUUACUGGAACACCGAGGCACUGGUCUCAAAAGUGGAAAUUCUUGCAGGUUUGUAAUGCAUCUGUUUUGGUCCUUGCGUUCACCUCUGAGAAAUAUACCAUACCAAUCACAAUUUUUGUUAGUAAUGGAGUGGUAGGCAGAUGCAAAACCAAGCAAUCAUUUUCCUUCUAAAGACACUUGUAAAAGCAUCAUGAGUGUCUAUUCUAAUGGAGUGGUAUACAGACAUAUAAUUGUUGCAGGGAUGCUGCAACUUCCUGGAGCAAGGCCAUAGUGGUACUAGGUUUGUCUAUUCUAGUGAUACUGGGUUUUCUUUUCUGAUUUCUUCUAAUUUAAUAGUUAUGCCAGCUACAUUAUGAGUGCCAGCUCUGCAGUAACUUUUUUUGCGAGGCAUAACAACUGGAUUAUUGUUCAUACAGGGAAAACAGAAACGAGUAUGAGUGCCUUUUUAUUUAAUUUAGUCAUAAUAGUUGACUUAAAAUAUUGUAUAUUAAAUGUGGGUAGGAGAUUCCUGUAUUUUUAUUGAAAACGGAACAGCAACAAUAGGAAGAGUUUUUUUUUUACAUGAUGGAGCGAUUAUUUUCCUAAGAAAAAUAUAUAAUGUAUAUAUAUAUAUUUCUCAUUCUGUUCAAUACCUGGUUUAGGAAGAGCUCUUUUUCCUAUGCAAAAUGUAUAACAUGUAUGUUUAUAGUUCUGAUUGCAGGCAUAUUCGUCGCGCUCGCCCUGUGUCUUGACGUUCCGCGAGGGACCAAGCGGGAUACGCCACGGGUUUUGCUGUUACUAAGAUACUUCGAUAUCAGUAGCACCUGUUCUAUUUAUCUGUCUUUUUUUGUGUUUUGACGCACAGCCUGCUCUGUUAUACAUAGUUACUGGCAUGACUGGUUUCAUCGCUGUUCGCUCUGUGUGUAAUGGAGAAGUAGAGCCGAUAAGUAAGCCUGCUUACCUAGUCCCUUUUGUUUAGUCCUGGGAUGAGAGAAAAUAACUGACAAUCUGGACCAGCCUGCCUUUGAAGUGCGAAACUUGUUUGUCACUGACUGUUUUCGCGAUUGGCAGUUGCUGGAGUUCACUGAGUCGAUAGUCGGAGAGGACGCAGAACAGGAGAGCAAAAAGGUGGAUUAGGGCUUUCCCUAAGGUGUGCUUUCAGGUAUUUUCAGUUUUCUUGUUAAGGAAUCAAGUUAUGAUUUUGUCUGUCAAGACCCUAUAUUCAUGGAGUGAGACGUUGUUCUGAAUUCCGACGCACUCAGAAAGUUUCGUCGCGGAAUUUCUUCUGGAAAAUAUGUGUAUGUAUUCCAGUUGUAUCAUUAGUAACCCAAGGCCAUAUAUAUAGCACGAAGAAUGUUUUCUUGAUUCGUUCGGUCUGACAAGACAUACAUAUAUUCUGCCGUGAAGCGAAUUAGGUUCGUUGCUGACCGGCAAAGUAAGGGCCGUUUCUGCAUCUAUAUAGGCUAGCUAGGCAAUCUGCCCUCAAGGUUGGGGGGAGUUGGAGAUUGGGGUCUCGAAUUGAGCUUAUAUUAGAAUCCUUUGAUUGGCUCAGAGACAUGGGAAUUAAGGAGCCAAGGGGAAGAGGAAUUAAGAGGCCCAGCUCCCUCAGAUUUCUUCCCUGGACGACCCCUGGUAAUUGAACUAGGGAUCGGGAAUCGACAGAAAAAGAUACUACUGACGUGCUGUUAGUUGGGCACGUUUGUAAGGGAAAGGCAUCAUUAAAAGUUGCUUAUUCCUCUGCCUAUGCCCACCAACCAAAUAGUGGUAGUUAACUCGCUUUUAAAUUCUCAAUUCUAAUUGCCUUCACAUACCAAACAGAGGAAUGGGACUUUAAAAUCAAUGUCCAUGUCUAAUGCCUUGGCAAACUCCCAUUCUCUCUCCCUCUAUUGCUGCCGAACACGCUGUAAAAUGAAGUCAUUUCUGCUAAUCCAGAUGCUCCAGGCUGCCAAGAUAAUCGAUUCCAGUUCCAUACCUGAUUUAGCAACAACUCUUUUUCCUAUGCAAAAAGUAAAAUCUAUACCAUGCUUCUAGUUCCGACUGCAGGCAUGUUCGUCGCGCUCGCACCAAGAGCUGUCGCUUCAACAACGCUUUUCUGGGAUACGCCACAGGCCUGCCAGUAAAAAGAUGGUGGCGACGAACUGGUUUCGAGCCACACAGGUCAGUUCUGCCAUUACUAAUACAUCAUGGCAUCUUGUUGCUCUCGGUCGAUGCCCUGUCAUCUCUGGAAAAAAUAUCAGCAGCACCUGUUUUGUUUCCGAAUUGUUGUUGGGUUUUGAUGCGCAGCCUGCUCUGUUGUAGCACAUCGUUCCUGGCGUGUGGCUGGUUUUGUUGCCGUUCACUCUCCGUUGAAUGGAGAAGUGAAAGCGGGCAAGUAAGCCUGUAUACCUUUUCCCUUUUAUGUAAUUCUGUAGUCCAUUGAUUCUUGAUCUGACUGUGUAGACAAGGGAGAAUGUCACCGUACUGUUCGCUGGUGACUCGCCCAUGGCAAGUCACCUGAUCUCAAUCUCCCCCAACCCCACCUCACCACCCACAAUGAUAAUUUUGUUUUCGAGACAUCUAUAAUACGUAAAUAGUUCAUCCCUACUAUGUUAUUUCUCUUGACAUGCAGUCUAUCCACCUCAGCACAGCUGCCACAUCCGCAUUUUAUUAGUGGCUUACAUGUGGGACCCACCACAGGUUGACCAGGGUACAGAACAACCACAUCAUCAUUCGGUUACCAGCUGUAGAGACCCACCACUGCCUCCACAGUGUAAACCAACGGGGUACAGAACCUCAAAGAAGAACAGCGUACAGACAACCGUCCCUCUCCCUCGAUUCAGCCGAAUCCACGAGCCCCUUUCCCACUGUUACACUUUACACACCGGCGCGGCGGCCGGGAUCCCAUCUCACGCCCCUCCGGCAGGACCACCACCCGGGCUUCCCUCUGCAAUUUAGCCGAACCCAUUCACCCCCUUUUCCCCUGUGUACAGCCCGGCGCGGCGGCCGGGAUCCCAUCUCACGGCCCUCCGGCGGUACCACCGGCUCGGCUCCCCUCUGCUGUUCCCCGGGGACCGCUAGGGCUAUGAUCCCCUUCUACGUGUGGUGCCAUGGUCUGGAGCUAUUUCCGUGGUGCCAAAUCCAGACCGCGCACCUAUUUUAGCCACCGCUGCCCCCACGGGUCAGCGUUCUCUCAUCAUGAUCUCCCCCGGGUGAACGCCUCUCUCUUUUCUGGUGUUCUUGGUGUUCUUGGUUUUAAGUCAAGCUGCGUGCACAGUUGUACAUUACGGGGUUGAUUCACAUAUAUGUGUAUCCUUUUACAAGUCUGGCGUUUGUUUGCAACUAGAUAUAUAAACACCGUGUGUCCAUAUGGUUGGGGUACGGAUUUAGAGAACACCAUUGUUGUUAGAGAUUUCAUCAGAAUACAAUGUAUUGGGUUGUUGACAGAUAUCUUUUCAACAACAUUGGCCUGCUUAGUACAUGAUAUCUUUAGCGUAGCUUUAUUUAUCUGAUUUUUUUUCCUGAUUGGCAAAUUUGAUAACUAAAAAUCUCUUUUUCAUCAGGUCACUGCGGAAGAUUAUAAUUGUUUCUAAUCCCGCUCUCUAUAUACUCCCAAGGUAUGACCUUUUGAACUAUUGUGUAGUUUCGUUUCAGCAGUAAAAGUUCAGAAACCCCAAUUUAGGGCCUGUUCGUAUUCACUCCACUCCGUCAGAUCCUUAGCUCCACUCCCAGCUCCUAGGUUGCUAGCUCCACAGGGCAAACGAGGAGCAGACAACUUGUUCGGCAACUAACUCCACUCUGCACUCUGGAUUACAGGCCCCCCACAACACAUCAAGCUGGUUUGAUACUGGUCAGUACGUGGAUCACUUGUUGUGCCAAUGAUGCAACACAGUGCAGAAAAAAUGCACAAAUAUGCUGAGUUUACUGAAAAUAAUGCUGAAGUUUCACACAUAAUUUUUUUGUGCAAAAAUUCACUUUAUCGCACAAGAACGAUUCAGCAUGAGUUUGCUGAAAUUACAUGAUUUUAGCAACAUAGACAAAUAGGAUUUUUCAUAAGAUAAACACAAACAAAGGCAGCAUAAACACAUGUACUUUGUAGACAUCACUCUAGUCCAGUGGAGGUCCUGCAGAAACAAUUUUCAACACAUGAAAACCUUUAUGCAAUGCUGGUGAUUGCUUGAAUAGAACCAAAAACAUAUAUACUCUGCUUCGGAUGGUUUCACCUACAAAAUUACGAAAUUUGUUAAUAGGUACAGAUACAUAUCAAUUGUGAAAGAAGCAAAUCAUGUUGUGAUUGAACUAGCUAAGAACAUCUUCUGGAUUCUAGACUUAUGCAUCUUGCUACAAGGAAAUAAAUGACAAGUAAUAUUGUGACUAAUAUUUCAGCUACUGACAAAGACAGUGAACAGUUUCGACAUGUUUGGAGACAACAUUCACUUGUUUAACUUUACGACCAGUCAUCUAUGAGAAAGCAUGAAUUUAUCAAGCAAGGUAAAAACUAAAGAAUUGUAGCAAAUAAAAACACAUGAAUGCUGUAGAAACUAGUAUACUCACAUUUAUAGCAGAACUGGAAGUCACCAACCAAGAGCAAUAUCAGUUGCUAGUCUAUUACGGAACCGGUCCAUGUCUUUAUCACUAGUCUCCGAGGUUGACGCAUCCGAUGCAUUCGGAGGGAUGGCAUACCGUUGAUACCUUGAAGGGAUAGUUGGGACAUAGUUGGGAUCUCUGUCGACUCGAAGAAAGUGAAGAUCCCCCUUAUCAUGAUAUCGAACGUAGUUGUGGAGGGCCAUAGUUGCAGCCACUAUCAUCUUUUGAGUUUCAACUGAAUAAUUGGGCAUCUUUAGUAGAAUCUGCCACUUCAUUUUCCACACACCAAACGCUCUCUCGAUCACAUUACGCUUGGAUGAGUGUAUCUCGUUAAAUUUCUCCUUAGGUGUUCUUGGCGCCACACCUCGUUGAAAAUCAGGCACGUGGUACCUUUCCCCCUUGUAAGGUGCGAGAUAUCCAGGUCUAUUAGGAUAGCCCGCGUCCACAAGAUAGUACUUACCUACAAACAACAAGCAGAUUGCAUGUAAGGCCUAUGAUUUGUUUACAGAAUUUAAAUAAAAGAAAUUAUUAUAGGAACUACUAACCCUUUGGAGGAUGAGGGAAGGUAUCUUUGUCAGCUUCAAUUGCAUGAUACAAGACACCGGUAUCAUGCAUAGAGCCGGGUUGACCAACUGAAGUGUACAUGAAAUGCAUGUCAAAAUCACAUAUUGCCAGAACAUUCUGUGUUGUUGAUCCUGACCUUCCAAUGUAUCUAACUUCAUCGCCAGCAGGAAUGGUAGCUCUGACGUGAGUACCAUCUAGUGCGCCGAUGCGGUCCUUAAGAUGUGGAUAAGCCCUUCUAUCCUUUUGAAUCCUUGGGUGCACACUACUAAAGUUUGGGUCCUUAGGUUUCAGGUAAUCUGCUGCCAUCUUAAUCACACAGAGUAAAACCUCAUGAAACUUCCGGUGGACUGUAUCUCCUGAGUGCUUGAAACGAUUUUGUGUUCUCCUAUUAGACUCGCAACCCCCUAAAGUCCACAAGAACAUUGCAAGCGCCUCAUAACUGCUCACGAAACAGGUUGAUUUGAAGCCAUACCUUUUGACCAACAAGUCAUGCAAUUGAAAGAAGAGGCGUGCGUUCAUCCUCAACAUGGUAUAUGUUUCUCCAGGUGUUGACACUGUCUCUUGCAGCCAUCCGAACCCACUAAGAAUAGAAUUCCUUGGGUCUGCCUUGAUCAAAUAGUUGUCACAGUACUUCCCUGCAAGUGUUGAUGCACUGGCAUAGAUGUUGGACAUUGAUUGGACAUGGUGGCAUACCCUCUUCUUCCUUUCUUCAUAACUAUCACUAUCAUUGUCACUAUCCGAUGACAUCUGAACAUACACAAGUAACAACAAUUAGUACUUAAUUAUCAACCAGAUUAGUCAUAGCAGAAAGAUAAGUAAGAAUCAUAUGUAACAUUAAAGACAAGUCAUAUGUAACAACAUUUAUCAUGUAACCAUCAGCAAGAUGAGUCAUAGCAGUAAUAUAAGUAAAAUUAUACAUUAAUUGCAAGCAUUACAAUUUAACACAUAUCGAUGAACAAUCAUCAACCAUGCUCCUAGUUACAUACCAGCAAAGACCAUGGUGAAAAAGAAUCAGCACAGCUACUGUAGUACAAACAAAUAAUAAUGUCUUAAGAAAAUCCUGAAACAAAUAAUAAUUUCUUAAGCAAUCUCAAUACUAACAUAUUUCAAAGACAAGUAAUAUUGACUCAACUGCACUAGCUAGAGUUUAUGAGCAUCGGAGCAGAUAUCAUAUCCUAUUCUCUCGCUAAAGGAAAAAUAAUAGUUACAGGUUAUAGGCAGAGAAGGGGUUCACUAGCUAGUUCACUCCAUCCAUGUCAAUCAAGGCAAAUAAAAGAAACAGAUGCAAUACGUAUAUGUUUGCAACAUCCAUGAUAAUCAUGUAGUGUGUAUUUGUUAUCUCUGAAGAAAAGGAAACUCUAUCUGUCUCUAUGCACUCUGUCGCUCAUCUCCUUUCUAUACCAACUCCCCUAAUUCAUCCCCUUCCUCUCAAUUUCCUCACAUAAUCCUUGCAGGAAUUAUAGACAUGUUGUACUACUACUUACUGGAAUCAAGAACCAAGAAUCAAGAACACCUGGAACUAUUCAGGAAUAUGAAUCAAGAACAGUAGAGGAACAAGGGUGAAGAGGAGAUAUGGAUCUCACCUUGAUGGAUGUGAUGUAGGCGUGGAUGCCGACCUUGCAAACGACGAAUCCGAGCUGCCGGGGACGAGGACGAGGCCCUGGUGAUCUCAGCCGCCAGAGGUCCACUCAAACCGUAUGCCCUCAAAGUGGUUGCCGAACAGAAAAGCCGCCUUGGAUGAGGAGGGGGGCGAGGAGAUGGCGAGGUCGCAGGGGCAUGGAUUUGGCCGAAGGGGAGCUGGGGAUCCGCGGCGGCGGGGUGGCGGCGGGCGGCGGCGCAGCGCUAGGGUUCCAUGGUCACGGGAGGACAGGGGAGUCGCUGCACGGGGGAGAGAGAAAAGGAUCGAGUGAAGCGGUAAGUUGUGCGGGGAGUGGCACGCGGAGCUCGGUUUCGCUGACUCCGCUGAAUUGAACUACGGUCUUGUCCGCUCCGCUCUUCCUACUUCGUGGAGUCGGACCGUUCGGCACUGCUCUGUCCGCUCCGGGAGCAGAGUCGGGGAGCGGAGUGAAUCCGAACACGCCCUUAGUUAAAAAAAAGUUCUAAACUCUCAAAUAGCCUGCGAGCAGAAUGUUGCAGGCUUUGUCCGGCGUUGCCAGAUACAUGUUGUGAGUGGUAUCUGUUUCCUUGACUACAAAUUCAGAGUUCAUUUGAAUUCUUGCCACCGGUCUUUGUGUUAGAGCCAACAUCACUGCAUCUGUGGGCGACAGCACACACCACUUGCAGUUGCUACCUUCUCUCUUUCAAGCUCGGCAUCAGUAGUGUGCCUUCCUGGUCCAACAACUGGUGUUUUCUCUCUGAUGACUCUCCAAUCUGCAUAUUGGAUUUUGUUCCCUGCUCGUGCUAAACAAAGAGUGGCCCUUGGACCAUUGCCUGCCUGACAUGGAUGUACCCCCGUUUUAAUCUGAAGAAUUCAGUAUUGGUGUUUAAUUCUGUAAAUUUUUAUUUUACAUUUUUUUGAUCCAAACUUGCUAGGUUUCCUGACGAUGUGUGGUAAGACGUCUUUUAUCAAGCCAUUUUGGAAUUCUUAAGAAGGUAAGGAUGUUUCUCUCUUUUGUAACAUUUAGAAUAUUUUUCAGCUAGUUGUAGCUAUUUUUACUUGCUUUACCCAGUUAUUUUUCUGCAAUGAUUGGCCAUAUUAAUUCCCUCUAUCUAAUUCCGUCAACUAGAUCAUGCGCGGGUUCGAACAGAUUUAUGAAAUUGCUAUUUUUUUCUGAUAGUAACUCGGGUAUAACACCUAUUGUAGUACGGUUAUGUUAUAGUAGAUAUAGGCCCUGUUUGGUUCAGCUUUUAUCGACGGAUUCCGCUGUCGCGCAGCAGAAUCUGAACCAAAGGGCGAACCCAGCAAAAUCCGAUUCCAGAAAUCCGCGGCCAAAAUCUGAACCAAAAGCGGAAGCAACCCAGGACGUGCUUUCCAAAAUCUGAUUCCGCUGCGGGCCAAAAUCUGAAAAAGCUGUAUCAGCUGGUUUGCCAAAUGACCCACAUCUUUUUCACAUCAGAUUUUCCACAACUAUUUUUCCACAGCAGAUUUUUCACAGCUGCUUUUAGAAAUCCACAACCGAACCAAACAGGGCCAUAAGGAGAAGUUGUUUGAUUUCAUGUGGUGACCCCCCUUUGCCCAAAAAUUACUGAUAGCAUUUUGUUUUUUGUUUGUUUCAUAUGGCAUCAUUCUAUUAUUUCCGGCAGUAUUUAGACUAAAUUGGAGAGGGAGAACAAACUUGAUACACUAAGCAAGCAAUGUCGGUCAUCUGAGGGCUUGGGCGCCUGUUGUUCCAAGUUCGCGAGGUACUAAGAGCAUCUCCAGCCGUUGGCCCCCCUAGGACGCGUAAAAAUCGCCCCCCGGGGGCGAGCCGGCGACACAAUCGGCGCUGGGGGCGGUUUUGCGCCCAGUCAUCGCCCCCAGGUGCCGAAAUUGGCCCACUUUUCAGCCCCAUUUCGGCGAAUAAAGGGCCCAUAUGGGCGAGAAUAGGCCCAUAUUCGGCGUGGUUCGCCGUGGCUCGGCGUUCAAUUAUCAAUGUAAUUUUUUUCUUAUAACAUAUUUCAUCACAGAAAAAUCAAAUACUUCAACAAAACAGUACAACAACAAAUAGUUCAAUACAAAUUAUAUAGUUCAACAAAUAAAAACUCAUAUUUCAUCACACGUCGCGCCCGGCGUCCCCCUUGAGCCUCCAUAGGUGCUCAAUCAGAUCUUUCUGCAGUUGAUGAUGCACCUGUGGGUCUCGGAUCUCCUGACGCAUACUGAGAUAGGGAGUCCAGGUUGCCGGUAGCUGGUGAUCAACUUCGGCUAGAGGACCCUGCCUGUAGUAUGGUUCAGUGUCUAACACUGGGUCUUCUUGCUCGCUCUCGAUGAUAAUGUUGUGCAAGAUGAUACAGCAAGUCAUAAUCUCCCACAUUUGAUCUUUCGACCAGGUUUGAGCGGGGUACCGGACAACAGCAAAUCGAGAUUGGAGCACACCAAAUGCCCGCUCGACAUCUUUCCUGCAAGCCUCCUGAAUCUUCGCAAACCAGGCGUUCUUGCCUCCUGGCACAGGGUUUGAGAUCGUCUUCACAAAUGUCGACCAUCUUGGAUAGAUGCCAUCAGCUAGAUAGUACCCCUUGUUGUAGUGCCGCCCAUUGGUCUCGAAGUUCACCGGAGGAGAAUGACCUUCAACAAGCUUGGCAAAGACAGGAGAGCACUGCAGCACGUUGAUGUCAUUGUGAGUUCCUGGCAUACCAAAGAAGGAGUGCCAAAUCCAGAGGUCCUGUGUGGCCACCGCCUCAAGUACCACACUGCAACCGCCUUUGGCGCCUUUGUACAUCCCCUGCCAAGCAAAUGGGCAAUUCUUCCAUUUCCAAUGCAUGCAGUCGAUGCUUCCAAGCAUCCCAGGAAAUCCUCUUGCUGCAUUUUGUGCUAGGAUCCGAGCAGUGUCUUCCGCAUUGGGUGUUCUCAAGUAUUGCGGUCCAAACACAGCCACCACUACCCGACAGAACUUGUAGAAGCAUUCUAUGCUGGUGGACUCGGCCAUGCACCCAUAGUCGUCGAGUGAAUCACCGGGAGCUCCGUAUGCAAGCAUCCUCAUCGCUGUCGUGCACUUCUGGAUCGAGGUGAAUCCAAGUUUGCCGGUGCAAUCCAUCUUGCACUUGAAGUAGUUGUCUAACUCCCGGAUGGAAUUCACAAUCCUGAGGAAGAGCUUUCGGCUCAUUCGAUAACGGCGCCGAAAUGUUUUGUCGCCGUGAAGUGGAGCAUCGGCGAAGUAGUCGGAGUAGAGCAUGCAGUAGCCUUCGAGACGAUGCCGGUUUUUUGCUUUCACCCGCCCCGGCGCCGAGCCACCUCGCCGCGGCUUUUCAUUGCUCACCAGCAGCUGGGCGAGGGCGGCGAGCACCAUCAGAUGCUCUUCUUCCUGGACGUCGGCCUCGGCUUCCUCCUCCAGCAACCCGGCGAGCGCUUCCUCGUCAUUCGAGUCCAUCGCCGAGGCAGACAAAUCGCCGAACACCUUGCGCUCAGUGGGCGUGCACCCGCCGCUAAACUGCCCCUCUGCGGCCGGAAACGCCCAGCUGCUGUUGGAGGGGCUGCCGCGACAAACCUCUGCUAUUUUUCCGGCGGGGAAUGGCUAUCUAGCGGUGAAGGGCGGCGGGCGGCGCCGGGAUAUAGCUAGUGGCGGCCGAGGGCGCGGGGGGUGGAAGGCGAGUUGGGGAAGAAAAUCUUGACUUUUCACCUGAGGGUGUGGGCCAGCAGCGCUUUUCCCUUGCGCCGGAGCCCCCGAUCGCCCCCCAGUGCGCCGGGUUCGGCCUGCGCGCGCCGGGCGGAAAAAAGGGCCGAACCGGCGCUUUUCGUCGUCCUGGGGGCGCGACCAGGGCGUUUUUUUGGCGCCGACGCCGAAAAAGUGGCCUGGGGGGCCUGUUGGGGGUGCAGCUGGAGAUGCUCUAACUGUACUUUGAGGAAUAUCAUUUAGUGUCUGCCAAAGUCUAUUGAUGCGUGUACAGAAUAUCAACAAACGUAACAUACUCAUUCAUUGUAAUGUAAUACAAGAAUAUUUGAAUCUAUUGUAUCAAAAUGUGAUCUAUACAGUAACAAGUUGUGCGAAAAUCUAAAUGGUCAAGAUAUUUUUUUUUUGCGAGUAAUCUGAAUGAUCGAGAUGAUUGCUAUAUCUCUCUUUUUCACGGGCUGAGACUGCUGUGUCAGCUGGACUUUCUCUCAUCCCAAUGCUUGAGCGGACGACCAUGAUUUAGGGUGCAGCUGAGUGUGGGCACCAAAAUGCCCGUCCCCUUAAAAUUAUGCUAUUUAUAUCACCUUCCGUGAUGUUGUCUGUGAUAUUGGGUUGUUCUCAUCUAACACAAUUUUUCAGCAUAUCAUCGUGGUUCAUUAAUUCUCGACAUUUCUAUGAAAAAUCGUUUCUAGAUGAUGCAAAAGUUCACAUGUCUUUAUAUUAAUCAUGUGUACUUGGAAACAGGGUUUAGUUGUUCGUAUUGUCAUGGACUUUCAACAAUUAUCUAUAGUUUUCCAACUGAGGUUUCGAGCAUUUUCUUAUAAUUUAACAUGUGUUCCCACAGCAACGCCCGGGGUGUCAUCUAGUUAACUUGAAUGGCUGGUAGCGUUUUCUAGUACAAUCCAUUCACGGUUUGUCGAUGCAGAGUAUUCAUGAAUGAUUAACCAGUGCUCGGAUUAAGUUCAUGUAACUUUUUAUUUGAAAUAGGCAGACAACUUUCUUGAUGAUAUUUUUACUUCACACGGAAGGGGGCAUGUGUCAGUGAGCAUUACUGUUGUGCAUCUCUCACAGAACAAACCUACAUUUUAAGUCAAAUUCUGAAGAAAAAAAUCUGCACACAAACAUAGAGACGUACUAGCUAAACCCGCGCGGCGACACGCCGCGCUUGUUGAUUAAUCACGACUGUAUAUGUCGACUACGGGCUAAGCAGUAGAUUAAUGAAUAAUCAUCUGUUGUUAAUUAAAGAGAUCCAGAACAAUACAUAAAAAGGCCGAAGAUGACAAAUAACUGAAUUUAUUAUCGCCAUGCAAAUGCAUGGAUACAAACAGAACGGUUAACAUUGACAUAUCUCUAAGGAAAACUAUUUAUUGAAACCAUAUAGAGCUCACUCUAUGCAGUAAACAGUAUACAGUGCUAUUAUUUUACAAAACAACAACUAAACUUUUUUUGUAAGUUCUUUAUUAUCUGACAUACAAACAUUAAUAAGACUUGCUUCAUUUACAUGAAACAACAAAGGGUCUCGAGGAAUAACAUAUGUAGCUUAGCUUGUGCAUGAUGAGCAGCAAUACACUCCAGCUGCAUGAAGUCAUGUAGUCUCUUGGGUAGCACUAAAGCUAACACAUUGCACUUGUGGAAAGGAGACCGUAGGCAGGUCAUGGCGUUUAUGCUGAGCUUGUGCAAGAUGUGCUCAAGGUACGUACGUGGGGUUGUUGCCAACGGGUAGCUGAAUACCCCAUUACCAUUCUCACAGAACCUGGACGAUCACACCUCCUAAUCGUACACCUACACGAAACACACGGGGAAUAAGAAUUAAGAAUCAAGAGAAAGAUGUCCAAGCAAGCAACCAUGCAGGCAACAGGUGGCCAUUUCAUGUAAAAUCCAUGCACACGUAGUCACAUCGCCUGCCAAUCCCAUGCACACAGCCACAUCAGCCCGAUGAUAGCCCACCUCUAAAAAAAAGCUGCAUCGGCCUGAGCCCCCCUCUAAAAAAAGAAAACGGCAUCGUCCCGACAACCAUGCCCCACCGCUGCAUGCGGCUACUGAUUCCGGACCAAACAAUAUAUGGUGUAAACAAUCAGGGGUGAACAUUUUUGAGAAUUUUAAAUAUUGUAAGGGAAAAUAUUUUAUUCAAGAUAUUUUUUCCUAAAAAAAAUUUAUGUUUUUGAUUAUAGUUUAUAGACGACUAUGCUUCUAUUUGGAGAAAAAAGGUUUGAAAAGGGGUUGUGCACGAUAAGAGUAAAAUUAUUUUUUGGAGAGAACGCCCGUACUUCCAACUAACCAUGCAAGCAAAAAACAAUACGUACGACAAGGUUAUGACAGUACCCCAGACCUCUAUGUAAAGCUAGAUGGAACCAUCUGUAAAAAUCAAUCACAGUUGACGGACAUUCAACAUUGAAUAUAAAUGAGUCCCAAGCCUGAGAGAUUGAAGUUCGAUAUCAAAAAUUAUUAUAUACCAGGAAAAAGAAAAAUAGAUAAACCAACAAAUUACCCAGAGCUUAGAAGAUAACCGCUACACUUCCACAAUUCAUGCAGCAUCAGCACGCUGAAGAUCUUUUUUUUUUAAGCUAGCACGCUGAAUAUCUGGCGUAAGAAGAAGUGAUUAACAAAGCCAAGCAGCCAGACCUCUCCGUUCGCCAAAACUGUGAGGAAACCAGAAAAUGAAACUACCUGCAGUGAAAAGAGCUGUGCUGCUGGCGACAACUGCAAAGGUGUAACGCGAACUUCAUGUGCACCCGCUCUAACCCAGGACCUAGAGGGGAUGGAAGUCUCGGGCUCUGGUGACCCUGGGGACGCGCCCCCGCCCCCGGCGGGCGCCGCGGCCGGCGUUUCCUCCCCGCCCGGCUCCUCGUCGGACCCUCGCCCGGCUUCCCCGCCUCCUGCGUCGCCUGCCUCCUCGCCGCUCCCGUCCUCCCUCGAGGUGUUGCCGCGGAUCCGUUGGGCGGACCUCGCCGAGGAGGACGAACCCCCCUGGCCGACUGCCCUGGCCCCUCCCGUCCCCCCCGCCCCCCUCCCCCCGUUCGUGCGUCGCCGACCAGCGUGGCCGCUGGCUCAGCCUCCCAUUGCGGAGGUUCUGCCUCCGGCUCGCGGCGGCGCGCGCAGAACCGGCCAAUGAGCUCUGCUCGUCCGCCUCGGGGCCAAGGCGCAGCCUUGCGGGGCUCGGGAGGCCGCCGACGCUGCUCCUGGGGAGUGGCGGGCCGGUCUGACUUGGUUUCGGCUCGGUCCUCCUGGUGGGCGUCCACGGCGUCCCCUCCUCGGCUGACGCCGGCGACUCCCUCGGCUCUUCCCACCUCCCCGCCCGCCGGCGUGAUAGUGCCCCGCUGCUCCCCGUUCCGACCCUUCAUCGCCGCGUUUGGCUCCUUCGCGCAUCAGUUCCGUCCUCUCUCCCUCCCUCGUCGCCCUUGGCCGGCGGCCUCACCCCCCUUGCCCCGGCAACGGUGGCGGCGGCGGCUCCUCCCUGCGAAGGGGAAACCCUUCCGCGCGGUGCCCCGCUCCCUGUCCUGGGCCGUGCCCCUUUGGGCUGCGAGGAGGUGGCCCGCUCGCGCCGGGUAGCUGGCCUGGCCCUCCGGGCUCAUAGGCCUCUUCCCCAGGCCGCGGCAGCUGGGCCUUCGAUCCUUGGGCCGGCUCCGUGCCCUAAGCCCAGUCAGCCCCCUCGAUCGAUCUGGCUACCCUACGGCCUGCCGCGCCCCUCGUCCCCCCCCACCCUGCCGCCAUGGUCUCCCCCUCUCCCGAAGAGAUCUCCAGUUCCUCCCCAUCCCCGCCCCGCUCCACCCGCCUCCUCGUCCUCCCUCGCCGGCGACCGCCGGCUCGGAUUCCUCCCUGUCCGCUGGCUCCGCCCAUGACGCGGGAGUGGGAUGACGGCGUGGAUCGCCGCAAGCGGCGCUACGACGACCGCCGCGACCCCCCUCGUCCCUCCCCGGACGCCGCCCGUCGCGAGGAUGAGCUGCGGCGCGAGCUCCGGGACCGGGAGAGCCGCCGCUCGCAGGGCUUCGACGACCGUCGCGACCACCGCCGCUCCCCGGGCCGCUCCGAUGGGCGUGCUCGGUCCUGCUCCCCUCCGCCGGCGGCGGGCAACUGGCGCUCCUCGCGGCGGCGCUCUCCUUCCCCGCCCCGAUGCCGGGAGCGCAGCCCAUCCCCUCCCCGCCCGGCCCGUCCUCUCUCCCCGCGUGCGCCUCCCCAACCCGCUGCUGCCCCGGCCAGGAAGUACGUCCCGCCGCACGCCGCAAACUCCUCUGGUCCCCCUGUCGCCGGUGGUGUUGGGGGUGGCCAGGCUCGCGGUCGCCCGGGUGCGGCCAAAAAGAAGAAGCGGCGCGGGCAGGCUCGGGCAAACCAACAGGCAGCCCCUGUGCCGGCCUCCGGCCGCUCGGCUGUGUCUGGCCCAGUCUCUGGCCGCCCCAGUCCGCCGUGCUUCAACUACGGCAUUGCGGGUCAUUCCCAGGUCAACUGUGUCAACCCCCCAUGUGCUACAUUUGCAAGGAUCCCUCCCACCCCGCGCUGUUGUGCCCGGACCAGCCUAUCGACGAGGAGUUGAUGAUGUACGGCCAUGGGAUCGAGGGGCCGGGGUUCUUCCACAUCGAGCUCCCGGACGUCCCCUCCCCCUCCCUCCAGGCGCUCGUCACGAUGAUUGAUGGUGUCGCCUCCCCCGAGAUGAUUGAGGUUGAGCUCAACCACCUCUAUCGUCGCCAAUGGGACUGGCAGGCCACCCUCACCACUAAUGGCGCUUUCUCGGUGGUCUUCCCCGACGCUCUCAGCCACGGCUACGCCACGCGCAGUGAUCAGAUCACUCUCGCCCUCAACAAGUUGGUCGUCGACAUCUCCGAGCCGAUCCUCGACCCCAAGGCCGUCGCGGUCCUUGACACUGCUUGGAUCCUGGUCGCCGGGCUUCCUGACAUUGCCCGGUCUGAGCGAGUGAUCCGCAAUAUGUCUCGGAUCCUUGGCAAGGUGGUGGUGGUCGACGAGCUAUCCCCCCGCAAGGAGGAGGUGCGCGUCAAAGUCAAGUGCCUCGACUCCUCUAAGCUGCGCGCCACCAUCCGAGUCUUCUUCAACGACCAAGGCUUUGAUCUCCGCAUCGCUCCCGAGCCGCCCAACCAUGUGGGUCGGCCCCGCUUCUUCGACGACGCCCCCCCGGCGCUCCUCCUGGGUCCCAGGAUGACUACCGCGGUCGUCAUCACCCUCGGUCGCACCACUCCGAUGAUGAGGAGGGAUCUGAGGACAGCCCUUCCCGCUCCCCUUCGCCACCUCGCCCGGUCCCGUCCUCGAGCCGUGGGGGGCAGCAAGCUGGGCUCGCUGCGCCUCCUCCUUCUCCGGUUGCAGCCGCCUCCGAGGGGAGUGAUGCCUCCGACAUCAGCCUCAUCGUCACCCCGGCCUCCUCUCCCCGCUCCCCCGACACGCUCCCUGCCGUGACGAUCCUGGACGUGUAGCCGACCGCCUCCGUCCUGGCCUCCCCUACGGCUGGGACCCCUGUCGCGGCGCGCGCCUCCCCGGCCACCUUCUCACCGACGCUCCAGGGUGCCGCGCCACUCCUCCCCAGCUCGCCUCCCCUAGUGAUGGCCCCCGAGGAGCCCCCACCCCCACGGCAGCCGCUCCCUCCCCGUCGCCGCUGCCGGCGGUAACUGGGGUUCCUCCCGCCCCUGAUCCCGCGUCGCCAGCUCCUGCUUCAUCCCCCCGACGCCUCGACUGCUCCCAGCCGCUUCUCCUCCUCGCGGGUACGGCGGACCCCGGCGGGGAGGGCGAGACUCGGGUGACCACCCCCGUGGCUUCCCAGCCACCUCCCUCACGGUCCGCGGCCUACUCCCGCCGUGGUCGGUCCUCCUCCACCCCGGUGACGGCCUCGCGAUGGAGUGUCAGGCUUGAGGCCGCCUGGCCGGACGGUAGCCCUGCUCUGCCCAUCCCCGAGCCGGCGGAGCUUCGGGCCGCUGCCCGGAACCUGGAGUCAGGUACGCCAGUCGCCCCCCCUUCAACUUCUACUUGCUCAUUCUUUGCGCUCGAAGCGGUUCCUCUAGGUCACCUUGCGAAGGUUGUGUCAGACUCCGUGAUUGUUUUCAGGGGGGAAUCCGCUCCCCCCUUAGUGCAGAUUGCGGCCAUCCAGGCUCGCGAGAUCCUUGAUGGGAAGUUGGCGGAGGCCCGCCAGACCCUCCUCGCUCCCUCCAUCCCCUCGGGCCCUCCUCCGGUGGCUACCCCGUCACAACCCCGUAGGGCGGCUGGCCGCCCACCAGUGGUGGAGGCUGAGCCUCGGGGCCGCACCCACUCUCGCACUGCCGCUCUCCGCGCCCGAAGCGCCUCCCGCGUCCUGGGGUCAAGCAGCCCCCCAAUGGUUUCCUAAUGUGUGCCUUAUUCUGGAACAUCCGCGGGUUCGGCCAUGACGGCCGGCGCCGCCAACUCAUCGAGUACGUGCGCGAUGAGCAUAUUGACAUAGUGUCGAUCCAGGAAACCAUGCGCUCUGACUUCUCAUUGCCAGAGCUUGACCGGCUGAGCACCCACCUCUUUGCGUGGCACUGGCUCCCUUCUAGUGGGAACGCCAGCCAUUCGGGUGGCAUCCUUCUAAGUGUGAAGGAUGCCACCUUCGAGAUGGGGAGUAUGGACCGGGGCCAGUUCUUUGUUAGUAUGGAGCUCUAUGAACGAGCCCUGAACUUCAAAUGGGAGGUUAUCAUCGUCUAUGGCCCGGCUGACCACAGUAGAUCCGCGUCCUUCCUCGAGGAGCUUAACCGGAAGGGUCUCUGCGGCCUCCCUGCCGGUGGUUGUCGGAGGCGAUUUUAACCUCCUCUGAUUCGCGGAAGACAAGAGCAAUGACCAUGUCAACUAUGCACGUAUGCAGAUAUUUAAUGACUGCAUUGCCGAUCUUAGUCUUCGCGAAAUAGAUAGGAUCGGUGCCAGGUUCACCUGGACCAAUCGGCAAGCCUCCCCGACCCAGUCCGUCCUGGACCGGGUCCUAGUCUCCCCAGAAUGGGACCUCUGCUGCCCUCUGGCCUCUCUUCGGGCUAUCACUCGGAUUGGCUCCGACCACGUCCCUCUUCUCUUGUCCUCCUCCGAUGAGCGUCCUCUGAUCCCUCCCCGAUUUCGGUUUGAGACAUUCUGGUUGUUCCAAACUGGAUUCGUGGAGGCUGUUGGGGCUCGCUGGGUGGAGACCAGGACUCUUCCUCACCUCCGCCCCCCUCUGCUAUUGUCUCUUGGCACCUCUGUGCCAAACGCGGCCGACAGUUCAUGAAGGGAUGGGGUGCCAACCUGGGUCGCGACCUCCGCGAGCGAAAAAAGGCCUUGCUGACCGCCAUUCAGGCACUUGACCUCCGUGCUGACACGGUCGGCCUCUCCCCUGAUGAGUGGCUCUCUCGGUAUGACCUUAAAGACCAACUCUCCAUCAUCUACACGGACAAGGAAGCUUACUGGCAUUUGCGGGGUUCCUAGAAAUGGGUCCUGAAGGGCGACGCGAACACGGCCUACUUUCAGGCCAUAGCAAACGGCCGCCGUAGACGCAACACUACCCCCCUCCUCUGGGACGGUCUGUCCCUUCUGCAGUCCCCGAGCGACAUAGGACCCAUGUCGACGGGUUCUACCGAUCCCUUUUCUCCGCCUCUCCUAGGAGCGGCCAUUCUCUAGCCCUCGAUUGCUGGUCCGGCCGCCAGCUUGUCUCCGCUGCGGAGAAUGCCGCUCUCACGGCCCCAUUCUCGGAGGAUGAGGUCUGGGCGGCCAUUAGAGGCAUGAAUCCCUCCUCGGGCCCGGGUCCGGACGGCCUUCCGGUGAAAUUCUUCCAGACCUUCUGGAAUGUGAUUAAGCCGGAAAUCAUGGCCAUCUUUGACGAGUUCUAUGUUGGGACCAUCGACCUCGGGCGCCUCAACUAUGGGAUCAUCUCGCUCAUUCCCAAAGUGCCGGGGGCCUCCGACAUUCGCCAGUUUCGCCCGAUCACGGUGAGCAAUGUGAUCUUCCGGAUUCUGGCAAAGGGGUACGCCAAUAGGGUAACCCUGCUAGCAGACCUCAUUACCCACCCCAACCAGUCCGCCUUCGUGAAAGGGCGGUAUAUCCUGGAUGGGGUAUUAGUUCUCCAUGAAGUCCUCCAUGAGGUGUGGUCUAAACACCUCAAGGCGGUCUUCCUGAAAAUUGAAUUUCACAAGGCCUACGACACUGUUAGUUGGUCCUUCCUUCGGGAAGUUUUGCUCCGGAAGGGCUUCGAUGAUUGUUGGAUCACCCGGGUGAUGCAGAUGGUGUCCUGCGGGCGCACUGCCGUGAACAUCAAUGGGGAGAUUGGUCCUUACUUCCCCACCCUCUGUGGGGUUAGACAAGGCGAUCCUUUCUCUCCGUUCCUGUUCAACAUGGUGGUGGACGCGCUUGCCGCCAUCCUAGCUAGAUAAGGCCAAAACCGCUGGCCAUAUUCGUGGGAUUACCCCUCAUCUGGCGGGCGGCUCCGGGAUCUCCAUGCUCCAGUACGCCGAUGACACCAUCAUCAUGGUCGAGGGCUCGGACACGGACAUCGCUAACCUCAAGUUCCUUCUUCUCUGCUUCCAACAAAUGUCUGGCCUCAAGAUCAACUUCGACAAGAGUGAUGUGAUGGUUAUGGGCUACUCUCCGGCUGAAGCCCUUGACAUCGCCAACCGCCUCAAUUGCCGCCUCGGCUCCUUUCCCACGACUUACUUGGGAACCCCCAUCAGUGACUCUUGGCUCACUGUCGCGGACUUGCGCCCCACGAUCGCCAAGUUACAAACGCGCAUGGAGCCUUGGCAAGGCCGAUGGCUGUCAAAGGCGGCUCGGACGAUCCUCAUUAAUUCCUCCCUCACUAGCCUCCUCCUGUUUCUUAUGAGCUUCUACAGCCUCCAUGAGACCCUUCACCAUGAGAUCGCCAAAAUUCAAUCUCGUUUCUUCUGGGCGGGUGACAACAAUAAGCAGAAAUACCACAUGGUUAGCUGGACGGACAUCUGCAAGCCCUGUGAACAGGGAGGCCUCGGUAUCAUGUGCUCUAAACGCAUGAACAUCACCCUCCUCACCCGCUGGCUCUGGCACAUUUCGCAAGGACACCGUGGUCUCUGGCUUGACAUUAUCCGGAACAAGUACCUGCGCGGACAGCCCCUCGCCUUCUGUCAGAGAUCCGGCGGCUCCCAGUUUUGGCAAUCGGUUGUCCAACUGCUUCCUGUCCUUCGCAUCGGAACCUCCAUCGCGGUUGGAUCGGGUACAGCGACGCUGUUCUGGUUCGACCGGUGGGCGGGAGACUCCCCCUUUGCGGCCCGUUUCCCCGACCUCUUCUCCAUUGCUGUCGCCCCCUUAAUCUCCGUUGAGAGGGCCCUUAUUGACUUAGGGCGCCUCGCCUUCCGGAGGCCAUUUGGGCCCCCGGAAGCCGCCGCGGGGCUUCAGCUGCUUGAUUGCGUCGCUCUCCACGAGCCGGCGGUGGAUGCGGGCCCGGACGAGGUUCGGUGGCGUCUUGAGCCUUCGGGCCAAUUCUCCACCAAGUCCCUCUACUUGGCCAUUGCCCCCUCCUCCGCUCCUCCCCCCUCCCUGCGGUUUGGUCCAUCCGCUUGCCAUUGAAAAUUCGGAUAUUCAUGUGGCAAUGGAUCCGCGGUAGGAUUCCGUCUGGGGUGGAGGUCCGCAAACGCUAUGGCCCUGGGUCCGGCAUCUGCCCCCUGUGUGGUACCCCCGAAGAUUUGAAUCACAUCUUCUUCUCCUGUGUCUCAGCUCAAUUCAUGUGGAUCUCCUUUAGGGAGGCAGUGGGAGGCGAUUGGUGUCACACCAACUUCCCCGACCUCUUCGCCGAACUCCAAAACUCCCCUUCCCCCUCUCGCCACAUUAGGUGGCUCGAGAUCGGGGUUCUAGCGUGGACUCUUUGAACGAUUCGCAAUAAGCUUGUGAUCCAGCGUAUUCCUCUUCGACGGGCUACUGACGCUCUCUUCAAACUGUCUGGUUACUUGCAGCUUUGGCGGCCGCUUAGCUGCCCUCAGGACCGCGACGCCAUCACCGCCUUCAUCGCCGACCUUCGCUCGAUGGCCGUCCGUCUGUCGCCGCCGCCCCCUCCGCCACCCCCGGAGCCGGAUUAGACGCCUUGCCUCGGCCGUGUCCUUUUUGUUUAUUUUUGGCUUGUUGAGCUGUGCCCUCAGCAGAACCUUUGCACUUCUCGUUUUGUGACUUGGGUGUGUGUGUUCUGAACUAGUCCGUGUAUGUGUGCUCUUGGCGGUUAGCUUUAUAUAUAAAGCGGGGCGAAAGCCUUUUUCGGUAAAGGUGUAACGCAGGGCACAAGGUGCAGCGACAUGCGCCGGCAAAACAGCAGUCCCGACUAGCCGGAGCAGUCCGCCCCCGCACGUGCUGAGCACCACGGAUCACAAAUACAGAGUUGCCAGCCCGACAGCGCAUGAAGACUGGCAUCGGCGAUGUACACAUACAUUGUCUGGCCCGAAGCCCGUGUCCCCCGUCCGCUGUAGUGGUCGCCGCCACCGCCUCGGGGAAUCACCGAAGAGAUCAGGACACUGCUCCAUCGGUGAUCUGGCCGCUGGCGAGGAGCAUCUCCUAGGCGUGCUGUGGGCCGCCACCGCAGCAGUAGGAGGCCCUGCACUACAAUACAGCUACAUCUACAGGCCGUCUCUCGCCAGGAGCUACCGGACGCGUGCGCCGGCGUCCACAGAUCCGGGCCGCACGCCACUACGUCCAGCUCGUCCGAGUGCUACCACUACUAGGGGGAAAACCCUAGUAGUAGCGCGGGUUUAAUGCCCACUAGUAGCGCGGACAGCCGCGCUACCAAUAAGGCGCUGCAGUUAUUACUUAGCAGUAGCGCGUGCAACAAGCACUACUGCUAAGACACAUAGCGGCAUCGCUUGUUCUGUCCCGCGCUGCUGCUAAUCUAGCUAGUUGUAGCGUGUUUACUAUCCAUCGCUACUAGUACUCUUUUUUUUCAUUUUUAGUGUAUUUAUACGCCGUUAUACAAAUUUUGUACAAUACCAAUUAUGAGGUUUAUAUCAUUAUGUCCAUAACCGUGUGUCAAAUGAAGGUGGAGUAGGUUCAAGUGGAGGCAAUAUGUGGUGCAUGUCAAAAGUAUACUACUAAUCCAAACUUGAUCUAGUUUGGACUAGUAGUACUUUCGAUGUGCACCACAUGUUGCCUCCACUUGAAUCUAAUCCGCCAGCACAAGCUAUUUAAUCAUCAUCAUAGUCAUUACCACCAACAGUAUUUAUUUAAUCACCAUAGUCAUAGUGUAGCACAUCAUCAUCUUCAAACUCAUUCUAGCUAGCUAAUCACCACCAACACUAGAUGCGGUAGCUAUCUAAUCACCACCAACACUAGCAAAUAAUAAUUAUCAUAGUCAUUACCACCAACACUAGCUAUUUAAUCAUCAUACUCAUAGUGUAGCACAUCAUCAUCUUCAAACUCAUUUCUAGCUAGCUAAUCACUCCUGCUGCUCUCUCUCAGGUAAAAUAACAUAAAACAUGUGUAGCUCUCCUCCUUCAUCAAGUUGGAGCAUGCAGAUGAACCUGUCUCCUAAUCGUGGUCUACGCUUCUCAUUGCUGCCCCCUAGUACUUCUCUGCGCUCCUCCAUCACAAAUUUGGUCCAGUCUUUCACUAUUAAGACUUCCUCGCUCUUAGAAAUCCUGAAUGCACUAAAGUGCAUUGUAGGAUAUCUUGGCCGUAAGCUAACAAUACUCAUGGUACCAUUAGUCUCGAUCCCAUGAGGCACAACAUUCAUCGGGAGUCCCAGUUGAAGAACAUCGUAUAGUAACAUACUUAGCAAUGAAGUUUAGCUUAAAAAUAAUGUAUGCAAAAGAUGCACUGAGGACAAAUAGUAAAACUCUUACCAUCUUUCCUAAAUAGAUAUGACCGUAGUUCAUUACGAACACUAUUGGUCGCACGUUUUCAGUACUAACAUUUCUAAGUGCAGGAAGAAAAUUUGUCUUGACAGUAUCAAGAUCCUCAAGCAAUGAAACAUAAUGACUUAGCUCCUCGCAGUUUAGUUCAGCCCCGGGACAGUAGUAGGUCCUGUCUACCAAGCGCUGGACAUGUUUGCUUGAACCGAAAUAAGCUGACAAUAGAAAUUAGUUGUCAACUAUUUUUGAAUAAACAAUAUUAAAGACAUAAAUAUGGUUGAGAAACUCACAUAAUGGUAUAACUGGAGGCGCCUGCACAUCGACCCAGAUGUCGGUAUUACCUUCAAUAUCAUCUUCUGGAUGAAUAUCAAAGGUGAUAACCAUAUCAGGCUCAAAUGCAUAAGUCUUGCAUAGUGUUCGCCAAGUUUUGCAUCCAAAAUAGGUGUAGUCGUCUGCAUUGUAUAAUUUUACGUGGAAAAUAUAACCAUGCUCGGUCUUCAAGUAAACUUUCUUUACCUCCAUAGUACGACUGAAACCUAUCUUAUCCAAGACAAAAACUCUUGCAUGGCAGGGGAUACGCUAGUAGAAUAGUAAAAAAAAUUUAAAUUAUAAGUUGAAGGAAAUGAAGCAGAUGUCAUGCUUAAUUACGAAAAAAAACUUGUCGUUGUGACUUACUGUAUCCACUUCGAAGUUCACGUCCAGCUUGAUGCUGAAGCGCCAAUCAUCAUCUAGGAAGAUUCCGUCGCACAGGCCGCGCUCGUCUUCGCAGUAUUUGCAAAUACCGAAAUCCUUUUCGUUGUCAGACAUUUCCUAUGUUCAUAGUUGAAACAUUAAUUGAAAAUCGAUCGAAGACAACUCCAGGAUAGUCAAAAUAUCUUAUAGGAUCAUAUUGACAUGAGCAUUCAAUAAGCAAAACCAAAUCGUAAAAUAAAUAAGUAUUCAAAUUAGCAUGCAUUCAAUAAGCAAAAGUAAAUCAUCUCAUGCGUCCGUACAUCGUCGAAUAUUAUCACUAAUACAUCCCAAAUAGUAUCAUACAUAUAACAUCACUAAUACAGCUAAAACCCUAGCGCACGACGGGUAUCAGCGCGGGCGGUGGACACCCAAAGAGAAGGAACCAUCACAGGAUCAUAGCUCCAAUGAGAUCCCUGGAGAACCUGCCAGGUAUUGGAGAACCUGUGCUCCAACGCAACAAGUAGCGAUGGACGUGCGCGUCCUCCUCACUGACACGGUCAUGCACCACCUCCGCGGGGUCCUCGAGCCUCUGGACCGUCACUGGCCCACGCGACCGCCACCAAAGAAGGUUCGGGUCAACGACAGGCUGGCUCCUCACCAACCUGCGCCCCCUGGUAGGUAGCGCCUCCCAGUACCACCCCGGCGGAGCCCAGUCCCGGACAUGGCCCAUCUGGUGACGCAGGUGUCCUCCACCGACUCGACGACGAGGAUGCGGGAUAGGCAUCGUCGACGUCGAUGCGCGAAAAAUUGCUUUAACUAAAAAAAUAACAACAAAUGUGACAUGUUCAACUAGUUCUAUAAAUUCAACUAGUUCUUACGAUUAAAUCUAGUCAAUUAAUUCUAUACCUAAUAAAAUGAAUAAUGACAUAAAAAAGGCCUAUGCUUUGCAGGAACAUUGACUCCUUCCCGGUGCGGCAAAUCCCGGGCACUCGAUAUGUCCUAGUUUGUAGCACAAGUCAUGUCGAAAUUCACGAAAAAUUUCGGCAUGACUUUUGCUAAAAAGUGGACAAAUCGAGAACCUGAAAUUUGCCGGAACGGAAAUGAAUCAACAUUCCGGCAAAACAUAGGCCACUCGGCUUCAUUUCCUGAAAACAAUAAAGCCACUUGGGCACAAUCGAACCACUUCAAUAAUGGAAUAUGCAAAUGAACAUCAAUGACAUAUAUCAUAUAACAACAAUAUGCAAAUGAAAUUACUGUUUAGGCCUUUUCAUAAAAAUUUGCCCUAGCUAAUUUCCUAAAAAAAUUGCUAAUCAUUUUUCCUAAAUGCUAAAAAAUGCCUACUGCCCUAAACAAAUCUAGGGUUCAUAUGAACACCUAGGGUUCAUAUGAACAUCAACACAGCAUCAACACAUAUAUAAAUUGCCCUAGCAGAGCGAGAGGGGGGUAGGGGAGAGGAGAGGCAGAGCCUUACGGUGAUUGCGGCGAGGGAGGGGCAGGCGGCGUCGAGGUCGGGGUCGGGGCUCGGGCGCGCGGCGGAGGGCGGCGUCGAGGUCGGGGUCGGGGGCGGCGUCGAGGUCGGGGUCGGGGGCGGCGUUGAGGCGGGAGAGCGCGUGGGAGAGCGCACGGCGGCCGACGGGCGACGGCGGCGGCGACAGUGGAGGAGUUGCGAUUUGGGGGAAGUGGCCGUUGGGGAAAACGAAUCGAGCGGUUUAGUCAGAAGUAGCAGUAGCGCGUUCCAGGAAGUGCGCUACUGCUAACAUAGCUACAGCGCGUUCGUGGAUACGCGCUACUGCUAUACCAUUCUCUUUUUUCCAAUUUUUCAUUUAUUUUUAUUUACAUUUUAUUUUUUUCUUUCACCUUUCUGUAUUUCUUUCAUUUUCAUUUACUUUUCUAUUUGCUUUUCAUUUAGUUUUAUUUACUUUAGAAGUAGCGCGUCUCAGCGUAAACGCGAUGCUACAAAGCAAAUAGCGGUAGCGCUGUUUGGCGAAGAUCGCUACUACUAUGUGCAGCCUAUCGGCUAAGCCGUGGGAAUUUUAGUAGUAGCGCUUUUGUACGCUGGCGCGCUAUUGCUAUAACGGUAUCUAUAGCCCGGUUUACAACACCGCGCUGCUGCUAAUUAGCACCAGCGCGUGUUUUUAACCCGCGCUACUGCUAAUGUCCUGUGUAUAAGAUUUUCCCUAGUAGUGUCGCGGGUUGCCGUUCAACCACAGCCACCUCCGCCCCAUCCGCACCACCGUGCAGGCGUUCACGGAGGGCCGCCCGUGCCCGCGCCUUAGAAGAAGACCAAGAAGCUAGCGGAAGCCUCCAUCCGCGCCAAGCUCAGGGACUUCCGUAAGCUGGCCUCCCCCGGCGGGCGGCUCGCGGGAUUCCUCAACAUCAUCUUCGCCGGCAAGCGCGCGGUACGUGUGCUCAUCGGCGUCGUGGUAUUCGUGGUCCUGCCUGAGGAAGACCAGCUGACACGCGGGCAGGAGCACCGUACCGUGCGGUUCAUGGAUAGUGACCGCGAGGCGCCGGCGGCGGUGCCUGGUGCAAAUCUUGGGACGGUACCGGCGCUGGAGGCGUCCUCCGGCUGGCGAUGGCAACACGAUCUCCAGCAGAGCUUCAAGGUUAGUGGAGCCAUGGCACCGGGCCGCUCAAGGUGUGUAUAUACUUGCCGUGUCCGGCGUACACUGCGUUGUCCGCUGGGAAGGAGGAGAGCCGGCCUCUUCUUAUAUAGGCUUAUAGGGCGGUGGCGUUGUGCUCAGAUUUUGCCCGGGCUUUCUAGAGAAGACAGGGCAUGGGGAGAGAACACAACGACCGAACCAACAGCGGCACACAGGCAACGACAGUGACAGGAACCAAUAUAGAACCCGAUGACGAAUAGGAAACAAGAAAGCGACUUCGGCCAACAGCACCAGAGACUGACAGCGACCUAUCACAAUAGCGAAGAAGGGCCAAAGACAGCGACUAAUCACAAAUGCGAAGAACGGCACCAGAGAAAAUACUAAACGAACCAAACCAAGCUGCACACACGUUCAAAAAAUUUCAAACGAAAACCUGAAUCCACAACUCAUUUGUACACAACCAGGUACCAAAAUAAUACGCGUGCCCCAUAGGAAUUUACCCAAAAGUCUUUUUCAUCCAAGUGGAUGAAUCUUGGAGCGAAAAAGCUCCCGGAUAUAGAGGUUUGGGUAUAUUACACGUGUGUGAAGUUUAAUGAUGAAAUACCUUAUGAUGUCGCUACAUAAAAAAAAUACAAAUUACUCAAAGUUGUGCAACGAAGAACAGAAAAGUGAACCAUCGCCAUAUUUUGGGAAGGAGCGAAAAAACUCUUUGGAGGACGAGCUCCAUGUAGGACUCGUUAUCUGGUGCGUGUGUCUUUCUUAGAACCACGCUCAAGACCUUAUUCAUCGCACGUAUCUCACCUGCCAACCAUUUUACACACCACCAUAUUCUUGUUUUUUUUACGGGACCGUAUUCUUGUUUUAUGAAUAGUACUACCCCUUUUCCAUUAAAAAAAAGAGUUGUGCCAUCACAUGUUAACAGGUUGGGCCUACCAGUGCAUGAAGUCUAUCACCCCGCCCCCAAGCCUAAUUUGGUACAAUUUUGACCCUGAAAUCUACAAAACCGGACAAAUUUACCCCUCGAGUGGUUUUGCUAUGAUUUGGGUGGUUUUGGAUUGUGUUGCGGGGUGGACAUGGCGAUGUAACUCAAGGUGACGGUCACCGCAACACGGGCGCAUGCGGGGCGCGUGAUUCCCGCUGGAGAGGGUGAAAGAAGGGGGAGGGAAGGGGAAGGAGGGGCUAGGGCAUCGGAGGCGAAGCUGUAGCACCUCGACGACGAGCAUCAGGCGUCCAUGGCAGUUGGAUGAAUGACAUAGAGGAGAGAGGUGGAGAGAGGAGGAAGAUGAUGUCAGAUCCAAAACCACGAAAAUCAUAAUCAAAACCGCUUUAGGGGCACAUUUAUCUAGUUUUGAAAUUUUUAGGGUGUAAAUUAUACCAAAAGCAGUCUUUAGGGGGGGGGUAUUUGUCCAUUGAACCACAUUUGAAGUUGAAAAUGAACUUCUUUCUAUCCAUUAUGUUGCAUUGUGGCCCGCGAGAACGGAACAUGGGCAUGAAUCUGGUUGGAUGUGCCUCUUUGAAGUCGUUGCCAUUUGGUCGAGCUGCUGGGAUUCCUGGCCUAGACGUUUGCUGGUUAGCAAUCUACUACUCCCUCCGUUCCUAAAUAUAAAUCUUUUUGAGAUUGUACAAUAAAGAAUACAUUCAGAUGUAUAUAGACGCCUUUUAAGUAUAGGUUCACUUAUUUUACUCCGUAUAUAGUCUAUUGUGGAAUCUCUUAAAAGACUUAUAUUUAGGAACGAAGGGAGUACUCCUCUUGUCCGUGGUACUCUUUCGCUUUCUUGGGCACAUGCUUUUGCACCAACGGUGAGUGGUGCCUGGCAUUACUUCUUCUAUGGCAACCUCCAUCCUGAGCCUGGUCUGUUUUUACACAAAAUAGAAAACACAAAACCAUAAAAGAUUUGUGGGUACCCCCAUGGGAAACAAACGAGGUUGAUCUCUCUCUCUCUCUCUCUCUCUCAAAUUCCUGAGCAUUUUUUAACUCAUAAAGAAUUUUUAAAAUUAAAAAAUAUGUUUUUAGUUCGUGAACAUUUUCUCAAUAGGCAAACAUUUUAGUAUGUUCAAGAACAUUACUCAAAUUCACCAACAUUUUCCAAAUGCGCAGAAAAUUUUCAAAUUUGUGAACAUUUUAUUAAAUACAUGAACAAUUUUUCAUAUUCAUGAACAUUCUUCCAACUUCAUGAACAUGUUUUCAAAUAUGCGUCCCUAUUCACGAACAUUUCUCAAAUUUGUGAAUGUUUUUCAAAUACGUGAACAUUUUUUUAAGCUUGGGAAAUUUCUCUCAAGUUUGCGAUCAAUUUUAUAAAUACAUAAACGUUUUUAUGUAUUGGGGAACAUUUUCAAAAUACGCUCCUCGAAGAUGAAUUCCAUCCAUCCUUGGCCAAUAUUUUUGUUUCUGAAACUGGGCCGAAAUCAGGCCAGUAAAUGCAAAGUGAUAAACUUUUUGUUGAUGGACUGAUCGAUUGUUCCACCGGCCUAACUACCUCCACACGGUGCAAAUUCAAAGUCCGUGAACGCUAUGUCUCGCAUUACGCGAGACGGUAGCAGCUCUCGCUGACGGUUUUUCCAUUUUUACAAAAAAAUUAAAUGCUUGAUUAACAUUUGCGUGCAUAUAGUUAGAGAAAGAGCUGAGGAAAGGGGGAACCAGAAUCGAUUCCUGGUCUCAAAGGUGACAGCGGGUGCUGCUACAAAGCCCGACCAAGUCCCGUUCGUGAUAAUUUGUAGGUGCGCGUCAUACUUUUGGCGAUUCAAGCCGGUUUUCUUUGAGUUUUUUUCCUUUUUCUCUUUUUUUCUUCUUCAUUUUUUUAUUCUUUUUUGCACUCGUUUCUUCAUUUUUUUCAUUUCUUUUUUCCUUUUGUUUAUUUUCUUUGUUCUUUUGGUUAUUAUUGUGCAUUUUUUGUAUACGUCAACAACAUUUUUUAAUACACGUCUAACAUUUUUCAAAUACAAACCAACAAUUUUUGCAAUACAUGGUCAAUAUUUUUGUAUACACAUUUUUUAAAUGCUUGAUUAUCAUUUUUCAAAUACAAGAUUAACAAAUUUUCAAUUCAUGGUCAACAUUUUUUUCCAUUUUUACAAAAAAAUUAAAUGCUUGAUUAACAUUUUCUUAAUACAUGGUCAACUUUUUUUCCAUACACAUUUAACAUUUUCCAAACGCUUGAUUAACAUUUUCAAACCCUUGUUCGACAUUUCUUUCAAAUGUUGGAUUAACAUUUCUAUAUACAUGAUCAAACAUUUUUAUCAUUUUUAAUACAUGGCCAACAUUAUUACCAUACACAUUUAACAAUUUCCCAAUUCUUGAUUAACAUUUUUUAAAUACUCGUUUAACAUUUCCCAAUUUUAGCUAGCUAUGGUGCAAACUAAGUGUUGUGCCUCGUCUUAAUCUAUCUAUAUAUCCUAUCUUCUAUUCGGCGAGGUGGCUGCGCCCGUGGCGAAUGCGGUCGCCGCCAUUGCCGGCGCCUGACUUGGUCGAUCUGCCUCUUCUCUUUAGAUGAGAUGGGGAGGAGAUGGUGAGAGAUGAGGUCAACGGCUUUGGGGAGAGGAUAAGGGUAGACGCCAACGGUGAGGCGGCGUGAGGAAGACGAGGUGGUUCGCGGCGGCGACGCGUGAGGGGAGGGGAAGGGAGGGGUAGUGGUGCGUGGAGGGGAGUGGGUAUGCGGCGUGCCCAAUUCGCGAGAGAGGAGAGAGGUCGGCAAGGGAGCGAUCCAUGGGAGUUUUUUUUCCUUCUGAGUGAGCCUAGUUGGGCUAUCUGCUGCGUCCAAGGCCCAGUGCACCACAUGUCUUCAAAUUGGCCACCAGUAGCAGCCCUUAGAACAGCAUGGCCAAUUUGCAAAUUUAAAGACAUAAGUUUUUUGCACGCAUGAAAAACAUAACAUGUAUCUUUCCACACAUAAUGAACUAUAGGUACUACCCCAAAAAAACAUAAUGAACUAUAGGUUGUCACAAGAACUCAUGCCAUCCCACAACCUCCCUCCGACCCUGCCAACAUUGUUGCAGCUGCACUCGCAAGUGUUACCGUAGAUGAUCAUGAAAUUACCAUAGAUGAUCAUUUCAUGAUUCGCGUAAAACGAAAUAAGAUCUACAAAUGAAUAGAAGCUACACAUACCUUGGCAUGCACACACAUUGCAAGCCAUACUAAGAAGAUAAGUGUUAAUAACUUGUACUCCCUCCAUCUCAGUUUACAAGUCUUCCACGUGUAUCUAGGUCGUCAAUUUAAUUAUACAAAAUAAAUUGUUUAACAUAAAAAUUAUAUCAUUAGAAAAUAGAAUAUCUACAGUUUCUAAUGAUAUAUUUUUUGUAAUGUAUGCCUCUUAUUAAGUUGGUCAAAUUAACGACCUAGGUACAUGUGCAAGACUUGUAAACCAAGAUGGAGGGAGUACAACAUAUACAACACUUAAGACAAGUAAAAGCAAUUUGGUGAGUCAUGGUCUAUGAAACCAAGCUACAUUACUAAUCUAAUCUAUCUUAACAGGUCACACAUGAUUACAAUCUUUUUUGUAUGCAAGUCAAGCUUAUCUAGUCUACACGUAACAACUUGUAGAACAUUACAAAAUUGAUGUUUGCUAACAAAUUCUAGAACACUACAACACUUGACAUGUAAAAAGAAUUUGAUGAGUCAUGACCUACUAAAGCAAGUUAUAUUACUAGUCUCAUCUAUCUUAACAUGCCAACAAGAUUAAAAACUAAGUUCUGUGCAAGCAAUGCUUAUCUAGUUUACACGUAACAACUUGCAUAACAUUACAAACUUAGUUUCACAAAAUUAGGCAAUCAAGAUUAGUGUUUAGCUGUAAAGUGAAUAAGAUGAGUCAUGUGUGUUAUCACACCUUUUUGUGGUGGAAUGAUAGUGCCACCAAACACAACAUACCAAAAUAUGAUUUUGGGAAGCAUCCAAGCACUUUGCAGACAAGCAAAUGCCAAUUGUGAAAGAGAUCAUGCCAUGGCAGCUAUAAAUAGGCAUGUAGCAUGAUGACCAUCCUUCCUCAUUCAUCAUUCUCAUAAGUAGAGUGCAUCAUUCAAGCCAAGCAAGAACUGGUCAAUACAAAUACACCAUGAAGACUUUUCUCAUCCUUGCCCUCCUUGCUAUUGUGGCGACCACUGCCACAACUGCAGUUAGAGUUCCAGUGCCACAAUUGCAGCCGCAAAAUCCAUCUCAGCAACAACCACAAGAGCAAGUUCCAUUGGUGCAACAACAACAAUUUCCAGGGCAGCAACAACCAUUUCCACCACAACAGCCAUAUCCGCAGCCGCAACCAUUUCCAUCACAACAACCAUAUCCGCAGCCGCAACCAUUUCCGUCACAACUACCAUAUCCGCAGCCGCAACCAUUUCCACCACAACAACCCUAUCCACAACCGCAACCACAAUAUCCGCAACCACAACAACCAAUUUCGCAGCAACAAGCACAACAACAACAACAACAACAACAACAACAAAUCCUUCAACAAAUUUGCAACAACAACUGAUUCCAUGCAGGGAUGUCGUCUUGCAACAACACAACAUAGUGCAUGCAAGCUCACAAGUAUUGCAACAAAGUAGUUACCAACUGUUGCAACAAUUAUGUUGUCAGCAGCUGUGGCAGAUCCCCGAGCAGUCGCGGUGCCAAGCCAUCCACAAUGUCGUUCAUGCUAUUAUUCUGCAUCAACAACAACAACAACAACAACAACAACAACAACAACCAUCGAGCCAGGUUUCCUACCAGCAGCCUCAGCAACAAUAUCUAUCAGGCCAGGGCUCCUUCGAGCCAUCUCAGCAAAACCCACAGGCCCAGGGCUCUGUCCAGCCUCAACAACUGCCCCAGUUCGAGGAAAUAAGGAACCUAGCGCUACAGACGCUACCAGCAACCUGCAAUGUCUACAUCCCUCCAUAUUGCUCGACCACCAUUGCGCCAUUUGGCAUCUUCGGUACUAACUGAGAAGAGAAGAACUCUAGUACUAGAUAUAUCAAACAUCGUGUUCUUAGUCCAUGGUUUGGUCGUUGUACUGGUGAAAAUAUAAAGUGACAUGCACUACCAUGUAAGAACCCGAACUAUACUAGUUCAAA